UGAUUUUGUUAUGCUAUCCAAACGAAGAUCUAGCGCGUGGUAGUAGUUAGGCCGAAAUGAGUUUUAAUAAGGGUUCUUAAUGUUUUCAUAAAACCGACUAUCAAACAAUCACUAAGUAUCAUUGAGUUAAUUAUGAAAUAUAUUUUUUAGAAUAUUAUAUAAUAUAUAAUAAUUUUCUACAAACUUGAUUAAAGUUAAUAGAAUUUGAUUGGCGCAUAAGCAACGUGCAUGCAUGUUCUGCCCUGAUGAUUGUGAUGAAGCGAGCCCUAGCUAACUAACUACUUGUGUCCUAGCCUGUACGUAACAUAAGAGCUAACAGCACGAUCAGCGUGAUCCUGCGUUCCUCUAGUUCACUCGCCCGUGCGCACGUGUUCCAUUCCACGCAUCAUCCUCUUUUUUUUUUAUAACGCUAUACGUUAAGGCAAUCGCAGGUGGGCCGCUGUUUGCUUGCUUUUGUCGAGCCCCGGCCCGUUAACUCCCUUUUUUUUAGCUUAAUUAACGUUGGCACUACGGCCCAGUGAACUCCUUCGACAAAGGCCCAUGGACGCGUUGGGCUGUCGCUACGACUCUGGUCGUGUGAGAGUCCAGCCCCGUCGUCCAUCGGCCCGGCAAGGAAAGCCUAUCUGCCAAGUAGUACUUCGGGAAUCGUCCGUUGGGCCAUUGUCGAGGAGCUAUUUCAACAACUGAUGGGCCGGUGCUCAUUGUCGCCAGACACCUCACCUCACUCGCAAAGUCGCCAGUCACACCCGUGCCUCUCCUGAUUCCUGAACGAGCGCGAUGAGUUCCAACACGAAUCUACACAGCCAGCAUUGCGUUGCGUGCCAUCGACAACAUAAGGAGUGGAGUACGUAAUAUCCGAGAUUCCAAACACUGACCGAUCGCUGAAGGCCGCCGAUGGAGACAAAGAAGCCGAUUGCGUGCCCUGUGUGCUGGCUGUGAAUCGUGAUCACGGGCGUUCCUUGGAGCAUAGCUUAUCUACUAAACUACUAUUUAACUGUGUUUUUUAAUAAUAAAUUAACGAUUAAUACUUUAAACUACUAGUAUAUUACCCGUGCUAACGCUACGGUGACAUUAGAAAAAAAUUAUAAAACUAAAAAAAUCAUAAAACUAAAAAACAAACCUACCCCACUAACAAAAAAGUCUAUAUGAAAAUUACAGUACUUCAUUUGGGAACAUAUAUUUGAUUUUAACAAAUGCUAUGUAGAAAAGUUGAGAAACACAGCUGAUCUACAAAUGCCCAUCAUUUGUCUUGUAACUUUGGUAACAAUUGUAGUUAGUGUAGAUGUAUACCUGCCUUAUUGGACAAACAAGCAAGAAAAACAAAAUUGUAGAGAUCGAUUAAAGGAAUAAUAAAACAAAAAAUGCCUAACAAAAUCAGGCACCAGUCUAUCACGCAAUGCCAAGAAGACAAGUAAACACUAAAUUAUACAUAAGGCUAAAGAGAAAUUAAAAUACUCCUGUUCAGAAGUUUCAGAUGAUCUAGAUCAUUGUUCCCCCUCAAAAGAUUCCUGUUGAAAAGAACAUAAUGAGAAGUUCAAAAGGGAAAAAAAAGAAAAAUAAAGAAACGGUUCCAGAUUUGACUUGUUAAGGCAUAACCAAACCUCCACAGCCUCUGACCCACCAUGGUGAUUGAUGCAUUGUUUCAUGGAAGCUACAUUAUCAUCUAACUCCUGCAAAGAACCAAACUAAGAGUUGAAACUCAUGAAUCACUUAUUAAAUGAUGACGCUAAGGAUGGAAAGAUAGUGUAUCUUGGUCCAACCUUUAGAGCUUCCAAACCACCACAAUGGGCAACUCGCUGCUUCUUGACACAGUCAUUGUCACAAGGAAUCAAGAAUGACUGGGUCGCACUCCGCUUCUGUUUCAUCCCCCACUGCUCGCUGUAAUCACAGUCACCCGUCAAAAGCAGGAUAGCACUCGAGCAACAAGAUUACUCUAGUGGCUAGCAGCAACUUUCCAGAAAGACGCGGCCGGGCAGUGCCGCUGGUGCCCAGCUAGCAGUUGAGUACGUCGUCAGCCGGGCGAGCCAUGGAGAAGAAGACGGUGGUGCUGUAUCCGGGCGUCGGCGUCGGCCACCUCGCGCCGAUGCUCGAGCUGGCCAAGGCGUUCCUCCGCCACGGCGGAGACCAGGUCGACGUCGCCAUCGCGGUCUUCGAGCCGCCCGUCUACGCCAACGGCUUCGCCUCCACGGUCGCGCGCGCCAAGGCCUCCAACGCCUCUGUCGCCUUGCACGUGCUUUCCCCGCCACCGCCGCCGCCGGCGGCCUCCAACGACGCCGAGCCUGAUGUCCCCUUGGCCCGGAUGCUCCGCUUCCUCCGCGCCACGAAUGCGCCGCUCCGCGACUUCCUUCGCGCGCUGUCGUCGUCGUCGUCGUCGUCGCGCUGCGUCCAGGCAAUCGUCCUCGACAUGUUCUGCGCCGACGCGCUCGACGUCGCCGCCGAGCUUGGCCUGCCCGCCUACUUCUUCUUCCCCUCGGGCACCGCCGGCCUCGCCUGCUUCCUCGGCCUCCCCGCCAUGCGCGCCAGAGUGGGCACCAGCUUCGCGGCGCUCGGGAACUCCGCCGUCCUGUCGUUCCCGGGCGCUCCUCCGUUCACGGUUGCGGACCUGGCGCAGGGGCUGGCGGACGACGGCGAGGCGUGCAAGGGCAUCAUCGGCGUGGCUGCCCGGAUGCCGGAAGCCCGCGGCAUCCUCAUCAACUCCUUCGAGUCGCUGGAGCCGCGUGCGAUGUGGGCGCUCAGGGACGGGCUGUGCGUGCCGGACCGCCCCACGCCGCCGGUCUACUGCGUCGGGCCAAGAAUGGGACAAGAAGUCCGCCGUGCUCCUCUUGAGAUCAAAGUCUGCCCCGUCACCUACCACCGCCACCACCAGAGCCGAGGAACCGACAUCGACAUCCAUUGCGGCCGAGAGGCUCCGCCUGGCGCCCGGGUCCCCCCCGCAUGGCGACCUCACGGGGAGCACCGAUGCCGCCGCCGCGGCACGGGUGGAAAGCGAACGGGCGAGGUAGCCCUCUAGGGACCCCUUGGCGCCGCCGGGGCUCUCAUGCUGCGUCUCGGGUCGCGGCGACUCGUCCUUGCGCGACGAGGGCCUCCGCUUCUUGGCCGGGAAGAACUACGGUGAGCCGGAUCGCGGGGAGAAUUAGCGCUUGAGGCCAGCCCGACGCGGUCCUCCAAAGAGUAGAGAUGUGAUGUAAGGUCGUGAUCAUACUUCUAAUCUAGGCCGUCUAAUCUGUAUGACAUGUGUUGUGAGUCGUUGAUCUUGUUGGUGGGAUUUGUCUGGAGAAGAUUUCAAUUAUAGUAGAGAUGACUUUUUAGAUAAUAAGUAUAAACAAGCCGGUCCUUUUGAGCACGCGGACGCGAGCCGCCUCCACCGGCCAAUACAAAGCGGCAGUUCGGUUGUCAUUUGCCCGCGUUCGGUGCUCCUCUACAGUCUACACUGCCAACACGUUUUUUUUUUUUUGCUUGUUUUUGUUUUUUUGUAACUCCAGCGUGCGCCGCUAGACGCUCAUCCAAACAUACACGCAACGACGCCCCCGGUGUGCCGUGCUGCAAUGUGCGUAGAUCAUGUCUAAAUUAAAAAAAAUGCGUCAGCGACGCUUAGCUAUUGAUGUGCUACUAUACACCAGCAUAACGUUCUGUUCAGGCGUGUCAUUGCGUUCAGAGAGGUCGCCUGUGAAUGCAAGUCCAAAUAAUUCAGAGCUAGGGCGAUGACGAACGGACAGGCCGGGAUAUGCACUGCACUGCACUGCACGGCCACGAGGCCGUUGGCCGCGCGUGCAUGUGCAUGUGCAUCUGCAUGCAUCAUCCCUGGGUUUGGCCGCCGCGACAGGGACAAGGAACUGGAUUUGCUGGAGAAGAAAGUGCCGUACACGGACCUGAAAUCAUGAACAACGAUUGGGCGGAUGACAGCAGCGAGCAGAGCAACCCAAGGGCCACGCGCUGUGAGCUUCGGUUAGGUCACAGCAGAUACAGGACCGUCGUCGCCCUGAUUCUGAUUACAGCAGGGCUCCAAGACAGAUAGGCCCUAACGUCGGAACUGUGCUCGUGGUCGAUGGUUCACGGGUAGCUAGCGUGGCCCGUGCACGGCGGCGCAUUGCGGACGGACGCGACGAUAGCUGAGCAGUUUCUGCCGUCCUACGCGAUGCCUCUCUCUUGCGACGUCGUUAUCGGUUUGUUCCAUCGUAGUAUGUCCACAAGCAGCACCUGCACCAAACCGAAGCUCACAGGCCCAACAGUGCACCCGUGCUGCUGCUGCACCCUGCAUACUGUACGUACAGAGCUGCAGCACCGUGCCCCCGCAGCGGCGCAACUGCCAUCUCCCGACACGAUCGAGUGCGCGCGCGAGUGGCAAAUCUCUGCAGAGAGAAGAACGUUCCUCGGUGGGCGCGCGAGAAUCCAGAAAAGGCCCACGGAUAUCGAUCGAUAGAUAGAUAGAUGGAUGGAUACGGCCAUCGGCAAGGCACCGGCGGCGCGAGGGAAUCCGCUGCGAAGACGACGGCCGGGGUCCGGUCACCGAUGGCGGUGGCCCGCCACCGAAGCUCCCCCCGCGCAUCACACGGCCCAUUCGCCGCCUUUCUCCUUGGCUCGCGGCGCACGGCCGGCCAUAUGCAUCCAGGCGGCGCGGCGGGCGCCACGGUGGGCCGACCGAGAUCGGGUACGUCAAGACGUGGCGCCGCAGCACCUCUCCGGCCGUGACGUACCCGUGCCAGAGCCGAGCCGAAACCUUGGGCCGUCGCGUACUCGCGUCGCGUGCGCGCGCGCCCCGGGAUCAGCACGUCGUCCAGCUGCAUGCGUGCCAGUGCUGCGCCGGCUGGCCUUGCCUUGUCCUUGCGUUUGCGUGCCCCACUGGUCAACCCGGCCGGGCGGCAUACAGGCAGGCAGGCAGGCGCCAGCCCCUACAUUGAUCGCCCGCCGGAAAACGACUUCACCCGCCACAACUGCGCUAUCACCUCUGCCUAGCCGUAAAGUUGACAAAAAAAAAAAAACAAAAACUUUUCAAGAUUACCUGUCACAUCAAAUCUUGCGACACGUACAUAAAGUAUUAAAUACAGAUGAAAAUAAAAAUUAAUUAUACAGUUUGCCUAUAAAUUAUGAGGUGAAUCUUUUAAACCUAAUUAGUCUAUAAUUGGGUAAUAUUUGUAAAAUAAAAAUAAAAAUGCUACCGUAUCAAAAAAAAUCAGAACUAAGACCUUGUUUAAAAAAACUAAUUACAUAGUUUGUCCAUAAAUCGCGAGAUAAAUCUUUUGAAACUAGUUAAUCCAUGAUUGGAUAAUAAUUGCCAAAUAAAAACGAAAAUACGAUAGUACAAAUAAAAAAAUUUAGAAACUAAACAAAGCCUAAUCUCUCUUUCCAACUCUAGUGUUGUAUCUUCUUCGUGCUAGUGCUUACUCUAUAAGUUCGCCAGCUAAAAACUUUUAACUUAUCUCAUCAAAUCUUUGGACAUUUACAUAACAUUAAAUUAAAUAUAGAUAAAAAAACUAAUUACACAGUUUAGUUAUAAAAUCAUGAGACGAAUCUUUUGAGCUUAUAACAAAUUAGCAAAUAAUAUUUUUCAGUUAUUGCUUUUUUUAAGCUUACAAUAAAUCAGUAAAGAGUACUUUCAGCUGUUGCUUUUUUGACAAGCGACUAUUACUUUCACAGUCUUUCCCUCUUACAACGAAUCAGUGUUUUAUUUCUACUUGGACGAAGAGAACUCCAAGAACAUAUGUCUGCUAUUGUUUUCAUUAGGAGGGAAUAUGUGAAUGAAUAGAAAAGAGCAUAUGUCACCCGUAUGAACUUGCUUUGAGCCAUACAGGGUACGUGCGUGACUGCGUGCCAUCCAGGCGCGCACAUGCAUUCGCGCAGCCUCACCGCGCACGUCGUACUCCGACGCUACGUCACGGCUCUCUCCUCUCUCGGCGGGACGCCGGGAAGGAAGUUCACGUGCCGCCGUCGUCUCCGGAAACCCCCCAACCCCAGUGCGGCUAGCUCACAUGCGCGCGUACGCCGCCGAGAGAGACCGACGACGCCAGGCGUGUACUCGAUCGCGUCUUCCUCCUCUGCGGCCCACGGUCCACCGCUGCACGGCACCGUGCAUGGCGGCUGGUAUUCGCACAUGAAAACGUUGCCAUCGCGCGCGUCGUGUUCGCAAGCCAGAGUUCGGUACGUGGAUCUGUUGGCAGACCUUCUCGAUCGCCACAUGGGAGCCGGGAGCGCCGUGCUCUUCUGGAUCCGACGCCCCUAGCUGCAUGGCGAGGCGACGACGCACAGGGUCGCCAUCCGCCAAAGCCGUUGUGGGCUCGUGGCCGGCGCUGCUGUCCGUGGCUGUGAGCGGGUGUGAGCUGGGAGCGUGUAAUCAUCAUCGUCGACCGGUUCGGUAACUCAAUCAAUCAUGGGUCGCCGGUCGGACUUUGCCGUUGAAGCUACGUCAGUGCGGAUUACCAUCACGGUGCCGCGGGCGCUUUGUUAGUUUUUUUAUCUAUCUUUUGUACUGUCAGACACGCUUACCGAUAAGAUAAUCGCGGUCGGACAACCGUGAUCGAGCUCCUGCCGGCAACCAAGCAAUCAUCUUCGGCGUUUACCUGUUCUGGGUCGGCAAGCAACACCUGCAGCUGUUUUUCCCGUUCCUGUCAGUGUCAGGCUUUUGCAAAGCGGAUACGUUUCUGCUUCUGUGUCCGGACCACUCACGGGCCUCGAAAGCUCACACGUGUUGCUACGGAAUGUGGAUGAGUCAUCUGCUCUUUUUGCAUCAGACUGGGCGGCCAACGUAGCAAGCAUGAAUGAUUGAUGAAGCACAUUCCUGCGAGACCGUAGCAUGAAACGAAAAUAACCGCACAGAAAUGAUGGUUUGGAAAGGGAAGCGGAUGUAUACUUCUGCCUUGGCGCUGAAGGUGUAUUAUGGCUUUGACACUUUGGGAGGUUUGUUGAGUUCACACGCGCGUGCAGGAAUCUUUUUCAUUCGGAGAUCCGAGACAAGUCGAACCGAUGUGUCUGAACCUGAUACGACCAUGAUGCUCAUCGACCUCCUCGCAGGUCGCAAGUAGUAGGGUACAGUACAGUCACAGAUCAUGCCAUCGUGGAGCACAAUUCCACAAGACGAUGAACCACUCGUGUGUUGGUAAAAGCUUGCCGCUCGUUAAGCACCAACCACAGGCCCAACGUUCGAAUCAGACAGGAACAGGGAUGAUUGAAACAUUAAGCUGAAUUUUUUAUAUCGUUUGUCGUGGUUACUUAGCGCUGGAGAUCAUCGGGCUAGUGCAGGGCCCUGCGCUGCGCUUUCUCCCCACUUGGAAACGCUUGUGUGUCGGUGUGUGCCUCUCCCUUUCUUCCUACUCCUACAUUCCAAGCACUAACCUUUUUUUUUCCAGUAGUAAGGCCUUGUUUAGUUUGAGAAAAUUUUUGGAUCUUGCUACUGUAGCACUUUCGUUUGUUUGUGUCAAAUAUUAUCCAAUCAUAGACUAACUAGGAUCAAAAGAUUCAUCUCGCGAUUUACAGGUAAACUGCGUAAUUAAUUUUUGUUUUCGUCUAUAUUUCAUGCUUCAUGCAUGUGCCGCAAGAUACGAUGUGAUAGGGAAUCUUGAAAAUUUUUGAAAACUGAACAAGGCCUAAGCAUUUGUGGCCUGCAGCUGCAGGGCCCAGGGGGUUCCGUGUUAACAACCUCUCCACGAAGAGUAACGAUAGAUCGCCGGCCAGAGAGGUCCGGUUACAAGAGAGGAACACAAGUUCCGUAUCUGGUUUUUUACAUGAAUGAUGAUGUUUCCCCCAGACUCUCCCUCUCCUUAUCUACUCCUCACUGGACGGCACGCAUCGCACGCAAGCCCACUCUGGGCCGGCCAGCCUGAUGUUCUUGGGCCUGGCCCGACUUCCCCUCCUGGGCCUCAGUACUUCUGGAGACGAUAACAGAUGAGGGGUGAUGACAUCCCCCCCUCCUUGGGUACCGGCAUGUCCCCAUGCCGGAGCAGCCGGAAAACGUUGGCGAAGGGCCUCUUCAUCUUCCCAAGUGGCGAGGGUGGAGUCGAGGCCGGACCACUUGACGAAGACCUGGGGAACGAUGUCGAUGUCGCGACGGUGAACACGGUGCUGCAGGAUAGCCUCCGGAAACUGCAGGUCGUCGUCGACAUCCGGAAGUUGGCUGGAGACGGGAUGUUUUGUCGAGGACGCCGGCUUGAGGAGGGAGACAUGGAACACCGGAUGUACGGAAGAAGAAGCCGGCAACUCCAGUUUGUAGGCGACCUGCCCAACACGUGCCAGCACCUUGUACGGGCCGAAGUAGCGGAAGGAGAGCUUCUGGUGGGCCCGCGGCGCGAGCGACGCCUGUACAUAAGGCUGGAGCUUGAGGAAGACGAAGUCGCCAACCGAGAAGGAGCGUUCUGAACGACGCUUAUCCGCCUGCGACUUCAUUCUCUGUUGGGCACGGUGCAGAUGGUGUCGGACAGACGCCUCCAUAGUUGCACGCUCGGACAGCAUUGUUUCCACAUCAACAACAGGUGAGGCAGUCGAGGCGGAAAUCCCAAAAUGGCGAGGAGGGUGGCCAUACAAUACCUCGAACGGAGUCCGGCGAAGGGAGGAGUGGUAGCUCGUGUUGUACCAAUAUUCGGCCAGAGGAAUCCAUUUUAACCAUUGUCGCGGGCAAGAGUGUACAAAGCAGCGGAGGUAAGUUUCCAAGCAUUGAUUGACGCGUUCGGUCUGGCCAUCAGACUGAGGAUGAUAUGCCGAACUCAUACAAAGCUGAGUCUGUGCCAGUUUGAAGAGUUCGCUCCAGAACUUGCUGGUGAAUACCCGAUCUCUGUCAGAAACAAUAUGAGUGGGCAAGCCAUGAAGGCGGUACACCGAAUCAAGGAACACCUGAGCAACUUGUUGGGCAGAAAAGGGGUGCGACAGAGGGAUGAAAUGAGCAAAUUUGCUGAAUCUAUCAACAACCACCAGUAAGCAAUUGGCAGCACCAGAGCGAGGCAGCCCUUCGAUGAAAUCCAUAGAAAUCAUCUGCCAAGAUUCAGUGGGAACCGGCAGCGGAGACAGAAGUCCUGGGUAUCGUGCCCGAUCCGGCUUUGCUUGAGCACAAGUGGUACAGGAAGCUACAAACUGCUUGACUGCUGAUUUCAUACCGCGCCAGGCGAAUAAUUUUUUGAGGCGACUGAAGGUGACAGGGAAACCAGAAUGUCCGCCCAGGGCACUGCUGUGGAACGCGGCCAUAACACGUUGCUGAAGCCCCGGAUUAUUCCCCAGCCAUAUGCGACCUUUCACUCGAAGAAUACCGUCAACCAGAGAAAAGGGUGGGUGAGCAUCAGGUGUUACCGCGAGCUCCUGAAGAAGUUUCUGUGCUGACUGGUCAUCAUUGUACCCACUGAUCACCUCCAGCAACCAGGAUGGUUGGGAAGACGAAAGUGCGUUGAGGCGGGCUGGUGGAUCAGGAUGGCGAGAGAGAGCGUCAGCAGCCAGGUUAGAAGUACCGGGUUUGUACACGAUGCGGUACUGCAGGCCCACUAAUUUGGUGUACAACUUCAACUGCCAUGGAGUAUGUAGCCGCUGGUCUGUAACAUGCAUGAGACUCCUCUGAUCCGUGAAUAUGACAAACUCACCAUGCUGCAAGUAAGAGCGCCACUGCUCGAGAGCCACCAGUAUAGCCAAGUAUUCCUUCUCAUAAGUGGACAUGCCACGAGUGCGAGGACCCAGCGCCUUGCUGAUGAAAGCAAGUGGGUGCCCAUCUUGAAGCAGAACGGCGCCCACGCCGGCUUCACUAGCAUCAGUUUGAAUCAUGAAUUGUUUGGAGAAAUCCGGUAGGGCGAGCACGGGGGCAGACACCAGAGCUUGCUGUAACGUGGUGAAAGCUGUAGAGUGGUCAACUGUCCAGACAAACAAGGUACCUUUCUUCAGCAGAUCAGUAAGGGGGCGAGCGAUGAUGGCAAAAUGUUGCACAAACUUGCGAUAAUACCCUGCGAGACCCAGGAAGCUGCGUAGUUGCUUGACGUCUGCAGGCACUGGCCACGCUCGGAUGGCCUCUAUUUUGGAGGGAUCAGUAGCCACGCCCUGUCCGCUAACCACAUGGCCGAGGUAAGAAAUACGCUGUUGGGCAAACUUGCACUUAGAAAGCUUCGGCUGCCACUGAUCCUGAGAGAGCAGAGAGAACACUUGGCGGAGGUGUUCGAGAUGUUCCUCAAAGGUACGGCUGUAAAUAAGGAUGUCAUCGAAGAACACCAACGCACAUAUGCGCAGCACCGGACGUAGGGUCGAAUUCAUGGCCCCUUGAAAUGUAUUCGGAGCCCCCGUGAGACCAAAGGCCAUGACAUUGAACUCAAAAUGCCCCCAAUGGGUUUGAAAUGCGGUUUUGAACUCCUCGCCAGGCGCCAGCCGGAUCUGGUUAAACCCCGCCCGGAGGUCAAGAGUAGAAAACCAAGAGGCCCCAGACAGUUCAUCCAAUAGUUCAUCGAUUACGGGAAUAGGGAAUUUGCUUUUAAGUGUCAACGCAUUCAGCAUCCUGUAAUCGACGCAGAACCGCCAAGUGUUGUCCUUCUUGCGUACCAGCAACACCGGGGAAGAGAAAGGACUGGUACUGGGGCGAAUUAAGCCCUGCUGCAGCAUCUCUGACACCUGUUUCUCAAUCUCUGUUUUCAGGGCAGGGGCGUAACGGUAGGGGCGCACAGAAACAGGUUGGGCGCCCGGCACCAGAGGAAUGGUAUGGUCGCAGGGACGCCUACGCGGCAGCGCAGUGGGCCCUGUAAACAGGUGGGAGAACUCAUCGAGCAACAGUUGCAACUGAGGAUGUCGUGGCUCGACAUCCGGUGCAGGUACUUCCGAAGUGAUGCUGUAGAGUUUGAGCACCGAGCAAGAACUGUCCGGCAGUAUGCCCUGUAAGGAGAUAUGAGUUGAUCCAUAGGGAAUGAGCAUCCAUUUGGCUUGCCAAUCAAUCUUCAUGGGUGAAAAGGCCUGUAACCAGUCCAUGCCGACAAUCAUAUCAUAGGAGCCAAUAUCAAGGACUUUCAACGUGGAGUGGAACUUGUGCUGCUGGACUGACCAUUCCGCCAUAGGUAUUUCAGUGUCACAGGUAAUUCGGACGCCAUUGGCGACUUGGACAGAAACUGGCUUCUGAAGGGGUCGCAGGCCUGACAAGUGCUGAGCCACAGAUGAACUGAUGAAAGAAUGGGUACUGCCCGAAUCCACAAGUAUGGUAACAGCCUGACCACCAAUAGUGCCCUGCAACUGUAGAGAUUGAGCAGUGGAAUGUUCCGAAGAGGAUGCAGAAGCAAGUACCAUGAACAGCUGGGAAGGACUCUCCAAAUCAUCAACAGGUUGGGAUUCACAGUCAUCAAACUCAUCCUGACAGAGGUUCCACACUUCCUGCAAAGCAUGUAACUGCAACACUGGAGCACACUUAUGACCAGGAUGCCAUUUCUCUGCACAGGGGAUGCACAACCCUCGGGCCCGGCGGUAGGAGCGAAGAGACUGCAGACGCUCAUCCAUCGGCGGGCGACCUGGUGGACGUUUGUCAUCCGAAGCCUUCCUGACCUCCGCAGGCUGAGAGACACCCGGCUUAGGCGGAGGAGGAGGAAGCCCCGCAGUCUUGGCAGCCGGAGGCUUGAACGAGGGAAAGCCAUCAUUCUUCUUAAUGUCCUUGUGUUGACCCAGAUCCGCCGCCUCUUCCUGCAACAAGGCCAAAGUGCAGGCAGCAUCCAAUGUUUGCGGACGUUGAACAAGAAGAACUGCACGAAUAUCAUCAUGAAGACCAUCCACGAAAUGUGUAAUGUAAGAGAGAAGGUCCGGGUUGGUCGUGUAGGCUGAAAGGUUUUCAAUGAGGGCUAUGAAUUGAUCCACAUAUUCCUGAACGGAACCAGUCUGUUUGAUGUGGAAGAGUUGGCGGAGAAGAAGCUCAUGCUGAUCACGGCUAAAGCGCUCAUGAAUCAGCCGACAAAACUUGGCCCAAUCUACCGCAGGAAGCUGGCGCUCUAUGGAUUGGAGCCAGCGCUUGGCGGCACCAGUAAAUUGCAUUGUGGCACAUUUGAUCCAGACUGACUGAUCGACACAAUACAUCUCAAAGUAGUUUUGGGCUUGGGUUAUCCACAAUUGGGGGUUGUCACCGUCGAAUUUAGGAAAAGGCAUUUUGGGUAAUUGGCCCAUGGGUGGGUGGUGGUGGGAGGGAAAUUCGUAGGCUGGUGGAGGCAGCGGGUGGGAUUGAGGUGGAGGGUAAAUUGGUACGGAAUUGGAGUGAAGUGGGUGAGGAUUUGGGGAAUUGGGUGUGGCGUUCGGCUGUGUAAGGGAUGGAAUAGGGGGAUGAAGAGGCGGAUGGUACAAAUGAACUGGAACUGAAUUAGGGGAUGAAUACGUACCAUUGGCCGGGUUUGGAGCUACGGUCGUCACCGAUCCGUAGCCCCUCUCCCGUGUAGUCAUCUCAACGCGGCCCGUUGGGCCAGUCGACCGUGGCUCCGCCAGAGUACGCGGCGGCGGCCGACUCACGGUGCUUCGGCAGCGGAUGUCGCUGCGGAUGCACCUCCAGUUCCCUGGAGAAGCGCCGGAGGUCGAAGCGAAGAUCAUCGACGUGGCCCUCGAUCUCUUGCCGCCAGGACUGCAGAACCCCGACCGCUCCCUCCAGAUCCUCCACCCUGUCAUCACGCUCGUCGUGGAUCUCAGCCAGCCGGAUCAAUUCGAGAGCCCCCAUCCGCUGGUCCAGCUCUUCCAGCCGAACUUCGAAAUGGGAACCCCAGUUGUCGGCGACCGCGGCGGCGGUGUACUGAGCAGACACGAGACCCUCCAACGAGGUGAGUCGGGAGUCGACGGCGACCUCGCGCUCCCGGAGGGAAGCCUCCGCGUCAUCGACUCGCUUCUCCAAGCGCCCCCAGCGCUCGGCGGAACGAGCAUCGUAGUUGUCCAUCUUCUUCAGCAAUUCCUCGAGCGCCUUGGAGACGACCGGAUCCAUGGCUCCCCUUGCCCUCUGGAAUCGGGUGAAGUGCUCGUGGGUGGGUGCCGAAGGAUCCAGGGUUCGCCGGUGCCCCGGCUCGACGGCUUUGAUACCAGAUUGUUAACAACCUCUCCACGAAGAGUAACGAUAGAUCGCCGGCUAGAGAGGUCCGGUUACAAGAGAGGAACACAAGUUCCGUAUCUGGUUUUUUUACAUGAAUGAUGAUGUUUCCCCCAGACUCUCCCUCUCCUUAUCUACUCCUCACUAGACGGCACGCAUCGCACGCAAGCCCACUCUGGGCCGGCCAGCCUGAUGUUCUUGGGCCUGGCCCGACUUCCCCUCCUGGGCCUCAGUACUUCUGGAGACGAUAACAGAUGAGGGGUGAUGACAUUCCGGUUCCAGACGCGGCAAUCCAGCACGCGUAGGACGGUAGGAGGCGACCGGCCUAAUUUACAACCGACCUAAGCUCGUAAGGACACAGCAAGUGGAAGGGGCGAAGGGGAAAGGGACAAGGGCGAUCCAGCACGCGUAGGACCAAUCCUUUCCUGUCCAAGUUCGAACUGACUCAGAAACGUGGAAGAAGAGGAAGAAGCAUGGGCAUCUGGUCAUUUGCGAUGGCUUGCUUCUCCGUCGUCCUAACACACGGGGCAGAUUCAGUUACCAAGUACUCCUACAGAACAGUGACCAACCGGAACCUCCAGAGCUGCUGAUUUUUUGGCAGCGGUAGGCACACAUUGCGAUCCUUCCUGCCGCUGUGAUUGUACAGGAUUGCAUACGAGUACACCGUUUCCAUUUCCAAAAGGACAACGAUACACGCAUCCAGGCAUCGUGCAUCGAUGUCCUAACUCCGGAAUAGAAAGCCGGUUUAUUCCGCAGUUAAAGCGAGAAAGAUAGUACCCUCCCCUGCUCUGAAGAAUUCUCGAACGUCAUCUCCAUUCCAUGCCCUCUUUCGGCAGCACCACCACGGACACGGAUUAUGCCUUGCGUUCGCGCCCGGCCCGGAGCGGCGGUUAGCAAGCAUCAUCGGAAGCCCUCAGAAAACGGCAAAAAUGAGCAGAAAAGAAAGAAAGAAAGAAAGAAAACGUCGCUUUGCUUCGUGUUGAGCCACAACGGGCGCUUUUGGUAGUGGAAACAUUAAAGAAAACCCCGGCAAUCUUUCGGGAAUAUUAUAUCCGCGCAAACAAAACAAAAAGAGAGCGCGGCGCGCGCGCUCCUUCCUUUUGACUCUCCGCGGCUCGGCUGCCGCUUUGCUUCCUCGGCUCCCCGUCGCCAUCCAUCCUUGGGCGCUGGCCGUGGCCGCGGCCGCUAGCGCUCGCCACGACCACGAGCCUCUUCCUCUCCCGGCGCCUCGCGGGCCCAGCCCAUCGUCGCGGUCGCGCGCCCGCGCCGUGCUGUAUCUAGUAGUAGACGCGACGCGACGCGACGUCCCUGUAGCGUUGCCGAUGCAUGCAGCAACCAGCAUGCCAGCAGGGGUCAGGGGUGUGCACGGUGCACCCACAUGCCAUGUCCUGGGUUUUCUAUCUAUAAACCGCCGGCGACCUUCUCGCCGGAUGUACUCCCGUCUCGGACAGUGCUCGAAGGAAAACAAAAAAAACGUGACGAGUGCCGAGACGAGCUGAUUGAAUCUAUCAGUAUGGAGGAGAACUGGAUCUGGAGAUGCUUGCUGGUACUAGCUGCGACAGGCUACAGACUGCAGUGCGCGCAAGCUGCCGAGACGACAGGGGUCAAGGUUUUUAACGGUGCUGGCCGUAAUGUAGUUUAACGGAUUGGAGGCUGGUCAUGAGUGCGAGCAUGUACAUGGAUGUCUGUACACCUGCGUCUGUAAUUUAUUUGCUUAUUACGUGAGUACGUCGUCUCUCCACGUUUCUACACCUCUCUAGAACGAAGCGGAGGACGAAGCAGUGACAGUGAGAACUGAGAACGUGAGCGAGGAGCAGGGGAGGAGGAAGGCCAGCCCGGUGCUAGUUGGCCGCGCGCGCGCGUUUGUUUACCUCGGGAUGGGAUGGGAUGGGAUGGUAGUGUGCGUGUCCUCGGGAUGCUGAUAUUCCCCCGUGUCCGUCCGUCCCUCCCCAUCAUCGCAUCGCAAGUAACCUCCCCGUUUCGCUUGCUGCUUGUCAUCGUCUCCCCCGGCAAAGGCGGGCAAGCCCGCAGCCGCAGGGCCAAGCCGUGAGCAAGCUCGAUCACCUCGUGCCGAGGCCCAGCUAGCUCAUCUAUAUAAGCGCCAGCCUCUCUCUCCUCACUUAAAGCAAGCACCCAGUGUUAGCUCCACACGCGCACAGAGGACGGAAGGGGAGAGAGAGCAGCGAACGAGAGGAAGAGCAGCUGCGACGGCGGCGAGCGGGCAAUUAACGCCAGACAGAUAGGUGAGGUGGUAGUGGUAGUAGUAGUCUGGUAGAGGUAGAGAGAGAGAGAGAGAGAGAGAGAGAGAGGGGAGGUUAGCAAAGGUAUAAGCUGUGGGCUUCCGCAAUGAGGUCGAGGAGGUCGUCGCCUUCGUGGCGGCGGAGCGUGGUCGCCGCGGUCGUCAUAGCGUUGGCUGCGUCGUGGUCCGCGGCGGCGGCGGCGCAAGCGCAGCUGAGCCAGAGCUACUACGCUUCGACGUGCCCCAACGUGGAGACGCUGGUGCGCGGCGCCGUCACCCAGAAGCUGCAGGAGACCUUCAACGCGGCGCCGGGCACGCUCCGCCUCUUCUUCCACGACUGCUUUGUCAGGGUACGCGCGCUCCGGUCCAUUCCAUUUCAUAUCCGUCACUCACCAUAUGCGCAAGGAUCCAGUGGAUCGAUUGACGUGCCCCGUCCCUGCCUGACCCUUGUUCUUCUGGUUCAUUCCGAUUCCCAGGGCUGCGACGCGUCCGUGCUGCUGUCGGGCCCCGACGACGAGCACAGCGCGGGCGCCGACACGACGCUGUCACCGGACGCGCUGGACCUCGUCACCCGCGCCAAGGCCGCCGUCGACGCCGACCCCAAGUGCGCCUACAAGGUCUCCUGCGCCGACAUCCUCGCCCUCGCCGCCCGCGACGUCGUCUCCCAGGUACUCUACUUCUUCUUCUUCAGGCCUCCCAUCCAUCCAAGAUUCCAAGCUGCAGGCCGCAGCUACACACGCACGCCCCCAACUCCGGUAGAGAGAGAAUUCGUUGGCGCUGUCGUCUCUGUUCACGUCACUUUCGGCGCCACAGACGAACAGAGAGGAUGGGGGUGAUGGGAAAUGGAAACCCGGCGAGCCGUUUCGUUCCAGAAAAAGAAGUGGUUAUGCCACUUUGGUCGAUGGGGGAUUACUGGAUUAGCGACUCGGGGGGCUUACGUUACGCUUAAACCCUACGCCAUUAGCGCACCAUCGUAAUAAACUAGUAGUAAUUAAUCAACGAUGCUAGUAGUGUUUUGGAGUGGUUUCUUUCCGGCGCGCCUCGGGCUUGUCCGGGCGACAGCUAUGAUGAGGCUGACAUGUCCCGCGCGCUCAUGGCCGAGGCGAACGACUCCUCCGCCGCAGGCCACAGCGGCAGCCAACACUGACUCUGAGCUGUGCCGCAAUCAUCCCAGUCCGUCCGCGCGUGUCAUGUCCAGCCAGGCCCCCCUGUCGUCUUCCUCCCCUGCUUCUCCUGGAGCCGGAGCUGGAGAGUGGAGUUUGGAGAGGCGAGUUUAGGCUAGGAGUUUUAGUAUCAGCGCGAGCCAUUGAUCAAGUUUGAGCUGGCUGCAGAGUGCAGAGAGUAGGGGAUGGGGAUUCCAGAAAGAAAGAAAAAAGAAAAAAGAAAAAUUUGUGUCCGGUUUGGCGCUAAAAAAGGGGGGAUUGGGUUUCGGUGGUGUGGUCCUGCCGUGUCCUGGUACUGCACCCUGUCGGAAUUCUGCUGUCCCCGGCUCAUUCAUCACUCGGAGCAACAGCACGCGCGGUCCAGACUCCAGGGCAAGGGCAAGGGCAAGGGGCAAGGCAUGGCGCGAAGAGGAGAUGCGACGCCCGGCUUGGACGACGGGACCGAGCGCCGGCGUUACUGCUCCUCGCUGGCUCGCUGCUGCGUCAGCGCGUGCCCGUGCCUUUGAAUUCUUCUCUGACGCGAAAGCAGACACGGUUUGGCGGCGUAAAUGAGCCGGUACGGCGUCGACAGAUACGAGCGCCCGACACCUAAUCCGCCGGGCCGUGCAGUCCUGCAGUGCCUGGACGGACAGACCGGUGCACGUAUACACGGAGUAGGAGUAUUCCGUAUACACGGGCACGGCCAUCAGUUAUUGUGCCGAGCAACUCGGCCGAAGUUUCUGAUGCUCGGAGUCAUUUCUGGCGCACACACACACACGGCACGGACGUGUGCUGCUAGUACCGCGUCGGAGUACUUUACUACGUAGAGUAGUACUCCGUCGCAAGGCGCUGCAGCUCUUCGUGUACACGUACGCGUAGGCAAUAAUAAAAAAAAAAGAAUUUUUACUACAGCACUUACCGAUAUGGUUGGAAUUGGUGAUGCAGACGGGCGGGCCGUACUACCAGGUGGAGCUGGGGCGGCUGGACGGCAAGGUGGGCACUCGCGCCGUGGUGAAGCACAGCCUCCCCGGCGCCGGCUUCGACCUCGACCAGCUCAACAAGCUCUUCGCCGCCAACGGCCUCACGCAGACCGACAUGAUCGCCCUCUCAGGUACGUCCGGAGUCGAAAGCGGCGCCCCGACUGGUUCCGGUUUGGUUGGCCGGCAGCUGCAUGCGGUUGCGGUCGCGACGCCGGACGCGGCUCAUCAUUCCGCCUCCGCUCACUCCCUUUCCCUGCUGCUCGAUCACAUUUGCUGCUGCUGCUGCUCGUAGAAACGCAUGUCCUUUCCAGCCUGGCUCCGGGUGCGCCCGGUCCCUCCCUUCCCCAGCUUCCUCGCGCGCAGGGGCAGGGCAAGGGCAUGGUCCCGUGGAGGACUCCCCAUGGCUCGCUGUUGCUGCUACUCUCGUGACCACUGCACUGACGAGAUCACCACGCACAGUCACGUCACGGUCAUAGCACUAGCACUAGCAGUAAAAACCCUGCAACUGUCCACUGCCACAGUCAGCGACCACGGCUGGCGAUCCGCCGCUGACGCUGCCAGCUGCGAGCCACAGUGUCACUGAGCUGCAGCGCUGAUCCCGACUGAUCCAGCCAAACAAACGCAUGCAGGUGGGCACACGAUCGGCGUGACGCACUGCGACAAGUUCGUGCGGCGGCUGUACACGUUCAAGGGCGGCCGCAACAGCGCCGGCCCGCCGAUGAACCUCAACUUCCUGCGGCAGAUGCGGCAGACGUGCCCGCUCAACUACACCCCGUCGGCGUUCGCGAUGCUGGACGCCGUCACGCCGCGCAAGUUCGACAACGGCUACUACCAGACGCUGCAGCAGAUGAAGGGCCUGCUGGCCUCCGACCAGGUGCUCUUCGCCGACCGCCGGUCCCGCGCCACCGUCAACUACUUCGCCGCCAACCAGACGGCUUUCUUCGACGCCUUCGUCGCCGCCAUGGCUAAGCUCGGACGCGUCGGCGUCAAGACCGCCGCUGACGGCGAGAUCCGCCGCGUCUGCACCAAGGUCAACUAGCUCGCUGGUUAGCUCGUAAUACAUUGGGAGGGACAUUGGGUUGGGUAGUACCGUAGUUGGGGGUUGAGAAAGAAUGUUCAUGUCCAUCAGUAAAGGCCAUCCAUGAUCCAUCACAGUUCACAGUCACAGUCACAGUGUACUAGUAUAUUAAUUUGUUGAUCCGCCGAUUCUUUUCUUGAUUAUUAUUGUGUAGUAGCAGUAAUUGAAACCAUGUAACAACAAGAGGGAGCUCCAUACGUACAUCCUAGGAUAUUUUCAGUUCACGCCCUACCAUACUUACAUCCAUGUAAAUGAAUGAAUGCUACAGUUCGUCCAAGUACAUGCCAUUGCUUGCUUUUCUUUUGAGAGUUGCUGAUCAGUCACGAGAAACAUGAAUGAGGUUGAGCGAGUGUGACCCGCUCGCGUGUGUACAUUGUAUCCUAUGCUCAUGCUCAUGGCGGAUCCAGGCUGAUGACAGCCAGAACAUGUAUUGUCCAAGUCCUCAUAAAUACAGCCGGCAUGAGCUGUGUGUGUGUGCUAGCACGCAGUUCAGAGACCAUGUGAUGCUUUCAGUGGAUGGAGCAAGCUAGCAGAGAUUAGGGUAGCUGCUGACAAUGAAUAGUGUGAUCUAUGGUGCUGUUGAUGCCUGUUCUGAUGGAGAGGACAGCCUCUGUUUUUAGUGUUUGUCCUCUUGACAGGUUUCUAUCGUGAGAACAAAAAAUGGAACAACAAGGCAAUGGAAACGAGAAAAAAAAAAGGUGCCCAAACAUGUGAUUCGGUGACACGGAAUUGCUGAAACAUGCGGCCAGAAAACUCUGCUUUUCCACGUCAAGUACUGAACUUUCAAGCCGUUGGCUCGAAUUCGGAAUGCGUAACUUGAUGUGUUGGGCUGGCACAAUCGCAAGGUCCCUUUCUUGGUCAGAAACAGCCGCCGAAUUUGCUGUUUCCCAACCAACUGAAGUUAUUCUUCCUCCAAACAAACAAAAAAGAGAUGUUCUGGAGCUUACCAUCAAGGGACGCAUACCAGAAACCUGCAAUUUGCAGCAUGGGUAACCUUGAUCUUAUCUCUCUGACCAGCAUUAAUCUCGCUGACCCGUGUUAUUCACUGAAAUCUAUGCCUAACCAGUAACCAGUAAAUGUGCAUCGCAUGGCACAGUGGAGACCUCACAAUCAAGUUUAUGUCACUUUUCUGUUCAUGGUCACUGUAUUUCUCGCCCAUACUCUGAUGCUAGUCCUUUUCAUGUUCCUGCAAUGAAAAAUAUGCAUAGGAGUACAUCAGAGGGCGUCCUGCAUCUCAAAGAGGUACACUAUUGGUACGCAAUAACUGCUAUGGCCAAACCUUGCUGGUCAUUAAUAAAAUGAAAAAAAAGUAUAGAAUUUCUCCAUGGGAAUAUAUAUAUCUCCAAGAUUAGCAAUAUACAGUCUAUAUAGAACAUGAACAUUCAGAACGGUCCAACAGACCCUUGUACAAGUGCACACCAAUAUGAGUGUGAUAUAAGCAUUUCGGCGUGGCUAUUGAAUAUAGUUAUAUGAUGCCACAUACUAUGUUUAGUACCAACAACGAAACAUGUUCAGCUGGAGUGAUGGACACAAGUUCUAUGAAUCUAGCCAGACAUUUCAGGUGGCCUCAAACAUCAAUUCACAUCACCAUAAAUACUUGACCGUUUCAUUUUUAGUCAUAAUAAUAAAGAGCAUUAAAACCUAUACAAUCUCCUUUAUCUCAGACUGCAUGAAAAACUUCUUUUUGCUAAAUCUGUCUGCUUUAAGAAACUGAAUGUAGAAGAGAAUUGUGUGUGGAGUAAUGGCAGACAUGCUCUUAGUCUUAGCUCGGCUCCCCUACUAGCUCAAACAAUGAAAAUGAUAGCAACAAAGUCAACCACACAAGAAAAAUAAUAGUGCAGAAUAUGUGGUUCUGGAGUACAAUUCCUCCUGCCUGCCACACACUGCUGCUUUUCUAGGUUUACAUUAUUCAAGCCAGUGGCGUUCCUUUGGAAUGCAUUCCUUGCCUUAUUUGGUGAAAAUGGGCAGUCACUUUCUGAAGUUAAAAUCAGCUAUCGCAACUUAAAAUUAAACUGCUUAUCAUCCCAACUGAUUUAAGGGUGAACAAGUUUUCAGUCCAACACAGAAAUGCAGAACCAAUUUAAUUCAGGCAUUAAUAGAAUCCACAAAAUUCACUGUCCAGACUCGAGAUGAUCCAAGUAUCCAACCACGUAGAUUAUGGAAACAAUAUCAAGCUGCCAGAGCAUACAUCAAUACAUCAUGAUCAUUUUGACCUCAAGCUUAGGUUUAUCAGUUAAAACAGGAAGAGAAGUACAAGCACAAAUUCUAGCAAUUUUCUACACAUGUUUUUGCCGAGGUUGUGAAAAAAAGAUCACUUGACAUUCUUUUUAUAUAAAACACUUCUGGCCUUCUGGCGACUUGACCAAGAUAAAGUGCCAACAACAGGCAUCAUAGCACUGAAAAGUUGAAGCUACCAAACUGAGCUCCUAUUUUCCAUGCUACCCUAUUCGCUUGAGCUUAUCUGCUGAAUCUUUAUCUGCUUAAUCUGUCAGUGUCAGGCUGUCAGCAUUCAGCAGUGUUAUUCUCUCAUAACAAAUCAGCGAACAGUACUUUUAGCCACGACUUUUCAGCGAAGCUAACAGAAUGCCCCCAAAUUUAUCUGAAUGUCGCUCAUCUAGUGCACAUCCCCAUCCAGGCGUCCAGCACGGCAGCACCUAAUGGCAACAGGAUUUGGUGCAAGAAAAAGGACGACUUGUCAUUAACAUUUGUACUCAUGGACCCCUAAAGCAUCCCAAAGAAUCAACCCAGACGAUGUUGCUGCAACAUAUGGCAUGCAGGGACAGGCCGAUCAAUCUGAUAAUGGCCUGCUCUUUUUUGCAUAAAGCUACAAGCAAGUACCUGUCUCUCUGCUUCAGCUCGACUGUACCUGCUCAUGUGCUGAACUGAAAUGCUUCUAUUAACUUUCCUGAGCUCUCGUGGGGGCAAAUAUUGCAACCAAAGCACAUGACUAAAGAUUAGUUUGCUUUACUUUGUGACAUCGAUGUCCAUGCCAUGGUUACAUGAAGCCGUAAUAGGAAAAUGUCAUGAAAAUGUGGCUAAUUGGGUAUGAGCCGUGCUUUGUGUACUAAAAAUCUACAGGUACAUCUGAAAAGGACACUGGUGAACUUUAUGAAUCAUCACUUAUGACAGUGGAUAAUAUGAAGCUAAUGUAGGAGUACUCUGUACAGAAGAUCCUAAAAACAAGAUCUUAGAUAGUUGGAAUUUAUUGUGCUUUUUUUUUGAAUGAUAGCAUGUCUAGAUAAGACCAACCUGAAUGGCUGCAAACAUAUGAUAUCUGCCAUAAAUUGUCAUGAAAUAAUUGUUUGUUCCUCGAACUGUUCCUUGUCCUAAGAAAAGUAUCUUGAUAACUGUCCACUGUCCUAAGAACCAUGUCCAUUUAUUUUCUUAUUAUGAUUGGGGAAUAUAGGAGCAUAUUUGGAACAUUAUCAUGAAACAUUGAUAGGGACAAUUCUCCAGAUUCACAAUCUCAUAUAUACUAUACCUAAAUAGAGGAUUCCCCCUAGCAGAUUUUUCUACAAUUUUGCAAAGCCACGUCAUCACCCAGGAGCAUGACCACAAGUCGCUAAGCGCAGGCGUCUCUCCAUUUCACAGGUCACUAUGCAAUCUGUUCCUAUCUGACCCUUUCUCUUCUCUGCUUCCCCUUCCAUUUCACAGGAAAGUAUAAGUAUCUUUUUAGGGCAGCGUGUCUUGGCCAAUCUAAAAGUCGAAGUGGAUUUCUGAAAAGAAAAUAAAGGAAAAACACAGGCUAACAAAAAGAUGUAUGUAGACUAAAAUUCUAACACCAAUGAAUAGAAACACAGGAAUUCAGUCCUGACCGACCUAUAUAAAUCACUCGACAGAUAACUGUAGCUUUUUAUUUGUUAUAAACUAUCUGAAACAAACUGAAGAAGAAUCCAUCUCAAAUAACACGAGCCUUUAUCAUUGGGAAAAAUCAUAUAUUCACCAUGCCGCAUAUCAAAAUUCAAAUGCACAAACAAAUUUAUACAUCACAGCCAAAAGAAAAAAAAAAUGGUUGAAAAAUAUGUGGGUGAUGCAAUGUAUAAUGCAUUCUUGGGCCAUAGGGGUGUGGGUGAUGCAAUGAAUCAGCCCAACAACUAACUUGCACAAAAGAGGGAUGAUGAGCUCACCUGGAGGCUGGAGGCAUAUUUUUCCUUCUUCGUUGUCUUUCCAGUUCAUUUGUAGCCCACAGCGAGCUUGUGCUGUUGACUAGGAUGGACCCUGAAACGUGGUGGUGUAUAUUCUUCUAGAGCUGUUGCGAGUAAUCGAGUUAUGGAAACAGAGUACAGCACGGGAUGUGAUAGCUUUAGAAGAGGAAUGAUAAAACACAAGCUGCAGAUCACUUCAUCCGCUGCACUUACAUCUUCAAGUAUCAAUAACCUAGCAGUUGUGCAGUGCAUGAUCAUCAGUUAUGACAUACCCAGGUCAAACAGAAAGGAUCAAUGGAAACAUCUCCUUGUCCAUAAUGAUACUAAAAAAAGUAGGAAGACAAGAGGAGAUAGUCUGUCGCCAGCAGUUAGGACAAGCAAAGUGGAAAACAAGAAAAGUGCUGCACAGAACAUUUUCUCAGCAUCAGCAUCUAUAGAUUAGUUUGAGAGGACAUAUUUCUCCAUUCUAUUCAUCGCAAGUUACAGCACCUGUACAAUCCAUGAGAAUUUCUCCAGUAAAGCAGGAAUGUUUUUAAGCCAACACACUUCUCCAGUAAAGCAGGAAUGUUUUUUAUGCCAACAUACUUGGAUAAAUUAUGUAACUCAACAUCUCAAUCAAGGAGAACCAUUUCCUAUUUAUUAUCCGGAGAGAUUUCUCAAGGAGAACCCCAUUAUUUUCGAGUUUCUGACCAUACUACUGUCAAGCAGGGCUCAUAUUUCACAAGGGUGUGCUAAGAAGAUGAAAGAUGCAGUAACAAAAGAUUGCUGGGGUUCCAGGGAGAGAUAGAGGGUCUAUCAUAUCCACAGAUUGAGGUGAACUGCGUCAGCAUCAUUCUAAUCAUAAAUCCAUGCUAUUUACAAGUCUGAGCCAAGAUUCAUGCGUCUCCCUUGUUCAUCUCUGAAGGUAUAGCUGAAGCUUUGCAUAUUGGACACCAGUUCUUCUGUCUAAGCCAUUCGUGAAUACAGCACACAUGGUACUGAUGUUCACAUUGCAUUGUACCAAUCUCUUCACCUUCAAUGUAUUCCUCCUGGAACAUCAAGUCAGUGUCAGUCAGAAUGCAGGCUGCAGAACAAUAAUCAUCAGUGUCCAGGAGAUAGAAGUUUAUUUAAACAGGUAAUUGCUGGGAAUAUGACAUUUCAAAAGGCAAACAACAUGGAGAUACAUUGUUGGAACAGACACUACAGGUUUAAAAACGUGUAUGUUUGGUUGAGGGUGUUGAAAACCUGAAGCUAUGAGUUCUAUGUGCAACUUUCCACAAGACCACAACAUCAGUACACUUUUAUUUCCUUGGCUUGUGUGCACCCUUAGUAAUUCCAAUUCAUCACUACAUUGUCCCCCUUCCAGUUAGCCUAUGCCUUAUUCGUUUGUCAGGCAAGGCACUAAUGCAGUCCCUUUCUUUCCCCCACGAAAUGAGUUGAACAUAUGAAGCAUAUCAUCAAAAGUUAAAAUUACACUGCCAAUUCUUCCUCAGAAUUCAGAACAGUAAUUGAACAUUGAAAUACUGGAGUAAAAACAAUACCUGACAUAUGCUACAUUUCACAUCAUCUGCUGCAAUCUUGUUCACAUCUCUACCAGAAUUUCUUGCUUCAUACACACUUUGGUUUACACACUUGGCAAAUUGCUCUUCAGUAAGGGCAGUACUCACUGAGCCAAUAUGAUCUUCUAAAGCAAGUAGUUCCUGAACAAGAAAAAACAAAAGAGACAAAUUACAUAUCAAAGAACUAAACAUAAGCUUUUCCCAAGCCCCAAGGAUAUUUAAUUCGAACAAUAAUAAUGGAGCAAACAUGUUGAAAGUAAUACCUCAUAUGACAUAUUGUCGAUAUCCAAUCUCAAAUCUUCGUGCUGAUCGUGCAAAUCAAGGCCGCUUAAGAGCAGAUUAGUUUCUAGCACCAGCAGUUGCUGCCAUUUUUUUUAUUCAGAAUAUAUUUCAGUGCAAAAGUUUGGUAAAAGGAGAAAAAAAUGGACAUCAAGAUAAAAGGACAAACCUCAUAAGUCAAUUCAUCAUCAUGUUCAAUCCUAUCCAAUGCUAGCAAUGCCUACAUACAGAAAACAUGGCAAACAUCACAAUUACUACUUCGUCGGACAAAAAAUCAGUAUCCUUUAUAUUGUACGUAGCUCGAUCAAUUUCAUCGCAAAUGAUUUUUUUUAAAAAAAAAAACUUGACCGCUAUGGGAAGACCUCCCCGGAGGUAUUGCAUUAAGAAGAGAAGCUCAACACAGGAUUGAGAAAAGGGUCUGAAGGCCGGACAGCCCUGGAACACACUCAAAUUGGCAUAAUUCAGUUAGGGUCCUUUUGUUGUGAGACCCGGUGUUUGAACCCUGUUUCAUAACUGGAUGCCCUACAACCACACUACAGUGUGUUCACAUCAUAAAUGAAAAUUUAACAACUCAGAACAUGUAUUAAAUAAGUUAACAGAAACCAACCUGUGCAAUACCUUCCAUGCUUACGUGCCUGUAGCCGUCUCUCUCCCCAAACAUACCAUGGAACAUCCGUUGAGGGCUUUCCUCAGUACGAGACGUAGAUCUUCUCCUUGCUGUCUGACUACUUGAGCCUUGACGAUUAGAUGAAUAAAUAGCAUGAGGUAAUUCUGCAUAAAAGGGUCUUCCUAAUCUCUCUGGGGGAGCACCAUCUGUGUGAAAAUGACCACAUUCUGGAUGAACGCUUGCAACAGUCUCAUGCAGAGCAAAUACGCUGUCCUCUCUUUCACCUGGUAUCAUCCUCUCCCUGGCACGCAGAGUAAAAGGUCGUCUAGUCCUUAUCGAAUCUGUAGGAUCCUGAAUACUUCUGCUAUUGGUCCUUGCUAUUUGUUGAGAAGCUAAUUGUUCAACAGCUCUAGCUCUAGGACCAGUACUACCCGGAUAACUAGCACGUGGCUGACUUAAAUUAGAUUGUUCACUUAUUCCCCUUGAUCUUGAAGAACUUUCUGCAUCAGAAGUUCUCUUCUUUGUAACUUCGACCCUCCUAUCACGGACAGAAUCAGAUGAAGAACAUCCUGAAGGCAGAACAUCAGAUAUUGAAGUGCAACCAAGAUUUUUUAGACCACGUCUCUGUGCUCCAGUAAUGUUAGUGCUAGGGGCAGUUGAUGACUUGACACCAGUGGUAAAACUUUGAGGUAAAGUACGUCGACGAACAAAAGUGGAAGCACCUUGAUGACUACCUGAAUUCAAUUCUUCUUUAUCCUUUUGCCUAUGUGCCAUAGCACUCAAUGCAGUAUUUCUGGAAUUAACUGCAUGUGCAGAAUUCCCUGAAGAACCAGAAACAUCUAAAACUCCAAGAUCAUGCUCUUCUGGCAAGCUUUCUUCAGUAGUUGUUGAGGAUGAUGAAGCUUCUGAUGUACCCUUCUGCAUGUAUGGAUGCCCAUCGCCAAAUACAGAAGCUUUCUUGCCACGUUGUAGGCAUCUAACCUCGGUUCUUCUGUUACUGCUUUCAGCAAUGUCUGUCUCUGCCAAAAAGGGCCGUUUUUGUCUCUCAUCACAAUAUUUUCUAACAGGAGCUUUUGAAGAGCUUACAGAUGAGGCCCUGGAGCCUGAAGAAUGAAACGGCCCUUGAAAAUACCUUGGCUUCUCUUUAUUUUCAGUGAACCGUGAUUUUACAGGAUUGAGAUUUGAACUCUUCCCUGGCUGCUUGUUGUAUUGGCUUGGCCUAUCCUCGUUGCUUUGAUUUCUCAAGGAAAUGCCAGAACCUCUUCUAAGAAACCCAACUGGAGUAGUGGAUCUACAGGAGGAUUCGUCCAUACCAAAAUGCAGGAAAAUGAACAGUCCAGAAGACUUUUGCUAGAACUCUGCAGCACAAAUUUGGUAAUGGUUAGUGACAACGAAUAGGAAAAGGACGACAUGAAUAGACACAUGCAAGACAAACACAGAAAAUGAAGAAGCACAGCACAGUUCAGAAAAGUAAACGUAGAGAAGGCAAUGCUACCUACGGCUGGUUCAGAACAUCCACCGUCACACUAUGAGAGCUACAUUUACCAUUAUAACACGUGAUCCUACAUACUUAGCGCAUUGUAGCAAUAUAUAGUAAGCUCAGUAUCUUCCCAUAUCUGAUCUUCAUUCACCUUUAAGAGCAAAAGGUUAAAGGACAAAAUAAAGUUGUGUCCACAGCAAAAACGGACAAGGGAAGGUUACCCGUAUGCUAUAGUACCCCGGUGAUCAAAUUACCGCAUCAGUAUCAGACAAGGACCGAGAGGCCCAUACAAAUCACAGGUAGAUAGUGAUACCGUAUAGGCAGAACGAGAGCCAUUUCUUGGGACCACAUACUAACAAAUAAAACACUUGGCCCAUUGAUCAUGAUAGCGCGUGGAAACAUCAUUCGCCUAUCUAGCAUCCGAUGCUUUCAUGUUCCCAAAACAGUAACUUUUUUUUUUUAAAAAAAGAAAAAACUAGUCUCUGAAUGAACACCCACGGAUGCGUCGAAUGGAAAGACGUUGCGAUAUACUGUAUGGCACUACCUCUGAACAAUUGAAGAGGACGGUGACCACGAAAAUUCAUUCAGCAACUCUACCUCUGAACCCGCAACUGUACCUCUGAACUCUGAGACAUGGGUAUUAGUUCCGAUUUCCGGAGAGAAAACCUCCGGACAUCCAUCGACAAAUCAAACAAGUGCACCGGACUGAUGAUGUGAAUGAAAAGCGAAAAAAAAGAACAAAUAAAUCGCAACCCAGUACGCCAAUCCAAAAGUGCAACUAAACCACACCAAAUAGCAGCAGUACGCAACCAAGGUCUGUACGGCCUUUUGAUUCCAAAAUCCCCAAAUUCAAACAUACCGAACAAGGAAAUGAUCAGAGGAUUCCACCCCAACCUCUAGAACUCCUGUACUGCCUCCCCCACCUGGCCACCCCCACAUCAAAUCAAAGGCACCCUCCACCCAUCAUCGGCUCAUCGCCAUCGAUGCCCCCCGUACCUCGUGGAAACCGAAGCCGAAGUCGAAGCGGAAGCGGCGGCGGCGGCGGCGGCGGCGUCGUGCCUCCCUCCCCUCCUCGUCUCCUCGCGGAAAUGGAAUGGGAGCCAGAGAAGACGGCAAGCAAACGGAGGGGAUUUGGGCAGAUCCCAGGCGGAUUUAUUUAGCGGCGUUAGCGGGUCGGGUUCGCAGGGAGGGAGACGCGUGAUCUCUCAGAAGGUUAACGGGGGCGGCUCCGACUCGACGUGGCGGCGCUGACUGGGGCGCGGCGCGCACGCGUCGUCGUCGUGGACUCGCGAUUGGUGCGCCCGUGACCGCGGGGCGAGGCUCACGCGCACGCGGGCGCGGAUGGAUCGGAACCGUUAGGACUGCGCCGUGAUUCGUGCAGGACCUGGUUGUCCGGGUCGGCAAGGGACACGCCGCACACGGGUUAAACGCCUGCCGCUGCCGCCGGUCGGAAACUUCAGCGGCGCCGCUGUCUCUUCUACGUCCGAAGAAACGAAUCAGCGGAGCUAUCAAGCGAGGAUUUCUCUGUGGCUUAUCCGUUUGGAAUUUCAUUUUUGAAAGAUACUUCCUCUGAUUAUAAAGUGUGUUUUUAGGUUCGUUAAAAACAAUAUAAAAAAAGUGUGUUUCUAGAUUAUAAACUCACAAGCAUCUGUUUAGUUCUCCUUACUAAUAUUUGUUAGCUAAAAUUAUUUUAGCAAUUCUUGAGUGGCUAGUCGAACUAAAUUAAUAUUUUAAAUUUUUUUAAUCAGAGGCUAAAAUUUAACAAGGGGAACCAAAUCUUUAAAACUAAAAAUUAUGAAAAGGACUCAUCUACCACAUGUAUGGUGAAGCCACAACUCCCAUCCCUUUUAGCCAUGAUAGGUUAUCCCAUCAACCUAGGCCCCACUCACUCAUGCAUGCAAAAUUGUUUUAGCGAAUUUUAAAAAGUCAUAACUUUUAAACCGAAGAUAUAAAUUAAAUUCCGAUUGCACCAUUAAAUUUCUCAUAACAAAUCCUUCAAAACAAGAUCACACAUGGAUAUAUUUAGAUAAAAUUUUAUUAAUUAAUAUUUAUCUCUACAACUAAAAAUUAUGGAGAGGACUCAUCCACAACUUUCAUCCCUUUGGUGGUCUUUUUUACUGCACGAUGACACGUUAUCCCAUCAACCUAGGCCCCACUCACCUAUGCAUGCAAAAUUGUUUUAGAGAAUUAAAAAAAGUCAUAACUCCUAAACUAGAGAUAUAAAUUAAAUUCUGAUUGCACCAUUAAAUUUCUUAUAACAAAUCCUUCAAAACAAGAUCACACAUGGAUAUAUUUAGAUAAAAUUUUAUUAAUAAAUAUUUAUCUUAUAAAGAUAAAAUAUUCUCUUUUAUUAAGUAGAAACAACAUUCUAGAUUCAACAGACAAUGUUCUGUCUUUGUAAAAAAAUAUUAUCGAUUUAGAAGAAUAGUAUUUUGGUUUUAGGUUUAUGAAACUGAUAUUACAAUAUACAUAAAAAUACAUAAAUACAUGACAUAGAUAAAAAUAAUAAAAAAUCUAGAGUAAAAAGCAUAAGAAAAAAAACACAAAAUGGAGAAAAUUUUCAAAUAAUGUCAAAGGGUUACUUUUUAAAUAUCGUAAAUAUAUUUAUAGAAUAUUAACAUCAUUAUAUAUAUCAUAGAACAUCAUUAAAUAUAUUAUAGAACAUCACAUCUAUUAUAGAUUACAUGUAUACUAAGUGAACACCGUAAGAAACAUCAUAAAACAUCACAUAUAUAUUACGUAAACAUGGCAUAACACAAUAUAGAACACUAAAUAUAUACUACAUAAAUAUCACAUAUAUAUAGAAAAUAAAAAUAAAAAAUAAAAUUACUAAGAAAAAAAUAUAAAAAUAAACAUAAUUAACAAAUGAUAAAAAGUGCAUAGAGCAAAUAAAAUUAAUGAAUAAUUUAAAUAAGGAUAACAAUAAGAUUAAAAGGAAAUAAAAUAUAAAAGAAGAAUGAAGAAACAUAGAAAAUUUGAAAAGAAAAAAGAAAAACAAAUAGAAGCAAGGAAGAACAAUAAAAAUAAAACCAAAAGAAAAAGAAAAAUAAAAGGUAAAAUUAUAAGGAAAGGACAGAAAAUAAAAUAAAAUCGAAAAACAAAAACUGAAAAGAAAUGAAAAAGGAAGAAUAUAGACAGAAAAAAUAAAAUAACAAUGAAGAAACAUAGAGUAUGUGGAUUUUAAAACCCGUAACAACGUACGGGCAUUAACCUAGUCAUCUCUAAAUAGUUGUCUAUAAGAAAUAAAAAACAUAGUUGUCUAAGAAAAAGAUUGAGUUUAUAAUUGUGUUUUGAUGAACGAUGAUAGUACAAGUAGCUUUCUUGGCCAAUCCAUCGUUUUCCGUCCUUUUGGAGUGCCCUUACAUUCAUCCAUUCAUCAUUGUCCAUCUCUCAAAUUUUUUAGACGGCUCCAUCACAAAAGAUUCGAAAGCAAGAGUAGGAAAAGGAUGCCGGCCAUUUGGAGCUCGCUAUGCAUUAAUUAAAAACUGUCUCAAAAAACAGAGAGUAGCAUUUUUUUUUGUAAAUUAUAAGUUGUGUUGUUUUUUUACAUUGUUUUUGUUACAUAUACCAUAUAUAUACCUAAAUGUAUGGCAAAAAGCUCUACACUAAAAAGUUAAAAAUGAAAUAUAAUUUGAACGGAGUACUUUACUGGAAAACCAUCCUAGGUUCAAAAUUGAAUGGCUUUGGUAGAUGGUAGUUGAGAUUGUAAUAUGAAUCGCUCCCUCCUUUCCAAAUUGUAUAUCAUUUUGUCAUUCCUAAUUACAUAGUUUUUUUGUUAUAUAUUUAGAUAUAUAUUAUAUCUAAAUACAUAAUAAUAGAUAUGAAUUUUGAAAAAACUUUGAUGAAAUACACGUGUUCUAAAAAAAUCUAGAAAUAACUAAAAAGACUUACAAUUUAAAACAUGAAGAGUAUUUGUUGAAGUUUAAGAGUUGCAAAACAAAUCAAAGACUAUUAAUUAUUUCACAGUCGGUACAUGGUUAAAAACAGAGAGGCAUAAUGUCGUGAGUAUUGGCCAACUAAUAAUAAGGUGUGAAAUCCAUCUCACUGUUCAAUGUAGAUGGGAUAUAUUUCCUGUUAGUCUUGGAAUUAAAGAUAAGUAGGUAAGAGUUAACACGAGAUGAGCUGCAACUUCUUUCUCAAAUGAAAUAGAUGCAUGGCUUGUUCAAGUCCUAAUCUUGCCUCUAGAAUCUAUUAGACUCUGGUGACCAAUGCCUGUCAAAAUAAAAGAGACAGUUUUCAUGGUACGAACAUUGCCUUACUAUUGACCUCGCAAAAAAAAAAAGUUUGCUUGACAGUGUCUUUUUGUGAUUAUUUUGUCUACUUCAAGGGUGCUUAUAUUUGGUGAUUGCUGGUCUUGUGACCAGACCAAGUCCUUCUCUUUGCCAUUUUUGACCUAGGAGCCGGCACAACCCCAAGUACCAACUACCAACUGCAAAGGGGUGCUUAAACAACAUUGGCGGGCUCGAUUCGAUUAGAACCUUUUUCAGCUGUUGGAAUGACAGACUAACAUAUGCACAAGCUUCCUAAUCAAAACGUAUCAAUAGUGUUAAGUAGGCACCGAAAAGAUAGGGUUAGGUUUUUCCUUUAAAGAAAGAAACAGGGGUUAGGUUGAAAUGAACUUGAAACAACAGGCCUGGUGAACAUGAGUUGCUAUGGCAGUUGUUUAAAAAAGAAUCAUGGAUCGGAGUAGUUAGCUCAUGGACAAUACCGGGACAGGUGCCAGACCAAAUCAGCAACGGUACCCUGUUCUUAAUUCUCGACAAUUAUCUAGUACAUAUACAACAAACAAACAAGCAAAAGAAACAUACAGCCUCACAAAAGUGCAUGGAUCCACUUUGUAAUAAAGUAACGGACGGCGCCAAACGGGGGAGCUCCAUUCCACGCGUGUCUGCUGUACGCGCGUGCACUUGUUUGUUCUCUUGCUGCGUUUAUUCGGACAUACUACGUGUCAAACUGUUAAAUAAAAAAAAAUCGAAUAAUACAUCAAGAGAUAAAGAAAGACAGAGAAGCUUCAAUUGCGUGGCAACUAAACCGAGUGCCGGAUGAUGGCAUGCACUUUGUUAUAGUUGUAUAUAUGCAUAUGCAUAGUUAGUGGCUGCAACAUCGUCCUUGAUGAACCCUAACAUGCAUUUAACUAGGUUCUGUUUUCUUUAUGAUCCAUGCUCCCUUGCAUGCGUGACUGGAGAAUUUGUUCGAACUCUGCAAAAUCCUCCUCCUUCGGCGCCAAAGAAAGCUACCUGUCGCCUUGCCUCCCCCGUCUUUGUCAUAUCCUGUGGCGUAUUGCGCCUGCGUUUGUGCUUUCCUUUGGCGAAAGGCGGGCAUCUAGUGCUUGGUGGCCAUGAUUGCUUGCCUUCUCUUCUCAAAAAACACAAGAACCUGGCAGCUGCACACCAGCUUUUGCAAGGAAUUGGCCGCCGAAUUGGACCCCCCGCCCGCUCCGAUGUCCGAUCCUCCCUCCCUUCCUUCCCUGCCAGGAAAGCUAUGCUACAGUCUUGUUGCAUUAUGUUGAUCUUUCUGUUCGACAUCCAUCCACUCUCGGUCGUUGUCGACUGAUUCUCCGAGUUUUUCAGCAAAUUUCAGGUGGUUUUUGACAUGCCGUGUGUGUGUGUGUGUGUGUGCAUGAUGGGCAGUUGCAAAGCCUCUCUGAUGAAGUGCAGGUAAGGGAGGGACAUGGAUGGCAGUGCCACAGCCGUUGCACGCAGAGAUAUAAUGAUUGUGGCGACUCCACUAGACGAGCAUGAUGGAUGGAUGGAUGGAUGGAUGAUGAGCGUGUGUGGAUCGGCACCUGGCGACCGUCCGUCCGUUCCGUUCCGUUGGUUGGAGGCCAAUCAUGUAACGGCAUCUGUGCUUUGCUCGCUCGCUGCUUUAACCGAACUACCAAGCCAUUAGCUGGUGUCGAAUCGAAUAUUCAAUGGAGACCGCGGGUCGUGCGUGGCCUGGGGAUUGAAGCAUGCAAUGCAAGCAUGGCAUGGCGACGACGACUUUGCUUCGAGCUGAAUGGUGCAAAAUGGUUUUUGUUGCUUGACAGCAGAACGCGUCCGGUUUCAGGCAUAGUUGUCAAAAUCUGCAAUUUUAGCAUGUACAUUUUUUUUUCUUUUUUGCGUUUUUUAUGAUAAUUAAGGGAUCUGACUGAUUGCACGAUCCUGAUCAAUGAAGUCUACGAUUCUACGAGUUUUAUGUUCCGGAUCUUCUUACCUAAAUCCCUCUGAUUUGAUUUUUGAUAAGCUUGGAUUCAGGGGCAUGAUCGCUGCAAUUUCUGUCGCGUCCGGUGCGUUCGACCUCGGUGGUGGCAAUAAACUACACCAGCCAGAAAGAUUACAGGCCGGGCUCCCUAUCUGGGAUGCCAGGAGACCAGAUCACCGAUCCCGCAGGCCGGUGCCGGACGUGGCAAUGGGGCGCGUGCCGAGGAGCGGGAACGCGCGACGCACCUGCGCGCGGGUGGAAUCGCGUGCAUUCUCUCGAGGUCGGCUGUUGCGGCGGGCCGCGGCAUCAAUCAGCUGGUGCAUGCUCGGCGAGGCGACGACGGCGUAUCGUAUCGUAUCGUCCGUCCGUCCGUCCGGUGGCAAUGCAUGGAUGGGAAUGGGAUGGACCCAGAGGCCAGGGCAGAGCAGGCAGCGGUGCCGGUGCUUGAUGGAGUCGUCGUACUUGCCGGUGGGUAGCUAGCCACGGCCAGGGCCAACCCGGUGGAGUCCAGUAGGCAGUAGUGCGUCUUUCCUUCCGGUCCUGCCUGCCAGAUCAAAAGCAGGCGUACUCCAGCUUGCGGGUACGGGUACGGGGACCGGCGGAUCGCGCCGCGCCGCCGGACACCGUGCGUGCAUGAUUGGGUGGAGUCAACGACUGCGCUGCGCCUGCGCCUGCGCCUGUGCUACUGCUGGUCUGCUGCCCCUCCCGGUGGUCGUGCGUUUGGGCAGCCUGCCGUGCCAACAAGGAAGCCCAGUCGAGAGAGACAGCCCGGACCCCACCGAGUGCGCGGGGCCUCCGCUUUGCCGAGAGCAAUGGUACCGGCCCAAACGUUUCUCAAAAAAAAAAAAAAAGAUACCGGGCCAAACGGCCUAUGUUGAGCCUAGUACGUGGGAAAACUGUUGAAGACGGCUUAUUACACCAUGUUUGUAUUUGUAUAUGCUGGAGACCUGGAGUAUUAAAAAGGGACUGUGUAGAGAAUAGUUUUUUUCUUUGAUGAAUUUUAAAAACACUACUUCAUCUGUCCCUGAAUACAUCAAAUUCUUAGGGUUAUAUUAAGUCAAACAUUUUUUUAAGUUUGACGGGAUUUAUAGAAAAAAAGAACCAAGAUUGAUGAAAUCAAAUUAGUAUCGUUAGGCACAACAUAAAAUAUUUCUUAUAAUGUGCUCAUUUGGUGUCAAAAACAUUUGUGCUAUUUUCUAUUUGAUCAUAGAAUUGUUUAGUUUAAGGUAUGUAACUGAUUUAUUUAGGCGUUUUAGUGAUACUAUUAUGGUUUUCAAAACUAUAAACUUCUUGGUACAAAACCAAAGCAUUUUACAAACUAUAGUGUUUUUUCUAAAACUCCAAAAAAAAAACUUUGCAUCCAAACGACGCCUACUAGCUAGUUGAAUCCCCCAUUGCCAUAGGACCCAAUGUUCUGAUUCAAACCUGAAUUUCGCAACUUAUAAUGCUAUAAACAGGUUGGUCUUUGCUCAUCAAGGCUUCCUGCUAAAUUUGAUCCUUGGAUCAUCGAAUCUAGCCUCAACUCCAAUGGUAUGCAGUUGAUGUGGUCUAGAAAGCACGCGUUUUUUGAGAAAAUUUGGGUACCUAAUAAUGUUUUCCAGGUUACUCUAUUUUACCAGUUCAUUAUCCCACAGAUGGGUCUUUGCCCAUAAAAAGUUUCCUGCUACCUUGAUCCUUGGAUCAUCGAAUUUGGUCCAGAAAGGACACGUUUUUGAGCAAUUUCUCAUCAUAGAAAUAAAUAUGUUUGAAACAUCACAACUAAUAAGGUUACAAAUAGGCAACCAAUAAUGUUUUUCCAGGUUACCUAUUUUACUAGUUCAUUAGCCCACAUAUAAUAUUAAUAUAUACUAGUCAUUAAUACAUGGCAUGCUGUCUUAGUUUAUUUUAGGUUAAUUUUGGACCAACCAUGAAAAGGUCUGACCACUGCAAAAAUAGCCAAACGGAGAGCGAGCGACACCCAUGACAGAUGGAUCCUUCACCAGGUGUCAACUAGUAACAGCUGCCAUGCCAAGUGCCAACUAUUUGACAGGUUCUGUUUGCAAACAUGGGGCUCUUCUGUUGCCCGGCUUUUUCUCAUCUUGCUGCUGCCUUCUUCGUCUUCGUCUUCUCCCAUCCCCUCCUCCUCCCACUGCGCCACAACACGCCAUUCCUGGCCAUUUCCUGCUUGCAAAGGUACGACGGUUUCUCCACCCCUCUUGGUUUUGAGACACGCAAACAAGACCAUGAUAUGCUAUUCCAAUUCAUUGUUCCUGUGGUUGAGAAAGCAGCCAUGCAUGAAUUCACCGCAUUAGGUUCCAGGUACGUUUGCUGUCGUCGUCCUUGGCUCGUCCAAGGCAUCUAGUUCCAUGGAGAAUAGACCUUGGUUCAUCUCUGAUGCGUUGCCACAUGCUAUGUGAUUUGAGUGUCUAGCUUUUCAUUAGAUUCAUUCAUCAAUUUUCUUUUGCUCCCUCUUCAUGUUUUAUUUUUGCUGACAUAACUAAAAGAAUUUCCCUGCAUAUUUGUCAUUGGAGAAAACUGUAAAAGAUGUGGGUUUUUUUGUGAAAAAAAAAACUACUACAAAAGAAGAAUUUGACUGCCUGCUUGUUCUGCUUUGUUUAACGGUUUUUUUUUUCAUUUUGAGACGAGCUUUGUUUGACAUAAACACAUAGUUCCAUAGUAAAAAAAAAACAACUUGCACUUGAGUUGAAUGUUUUGACCGUGUUGUAAUACAAAUGGGAAUGAGAUCAAAAUUGUUUUUUUUAUGAUAAAAAAAAUGAGAAAACAUCAAUUGUCACCGCAACGUGGCAGGAGUGUUUGUCACAGAAUGCAAACAUGGCAUACAUGUUGUCUAAACAUUUCAAGGUCAAUCAGAUACAAAUCGGAGCUUUGGAAAUAUAAAUCUCCCAAAUCACGUCUUGUACCGGCAAAACAAUUGACAAAUCUCUCUGCUCUGUGUUGCGAUGCAGCGGAAGCCGCCCAUGGCCACGCGGCCGUCGCUGCGGUCGAGCGACGGCGCGCGCCCAAGAAGCAGGAGCGGGACCGGCACUGGCAGGCCCCCGUCGAGCCCACGCAGCUCCGACCCGUCGCGCCCGUCCGCCGCCGCCGCCACGGCGGCGGCGGCGGCGGCGUCCGACAAGCCGAUGCCGUCCUUCCUCCGCCCCACCGUGAGCUCGUCGAUGCACAGCUCCUCGUCGUCUUCCUCGCUGGCGUCGCCCUCCCCCUCUUCGUCGUCCUCCGCCACGGCCGCCGGUGCCGGCGGCUCCAAGGGCACUGCCGCCACGGCGAAGCGGUCUGCCGAUAAGGCCCCGGCGCAGCCGGUGGGCGCGUCCCGGCCGAUCACGCCCAAGGACAAGGCCCCCGCGCAGCCUGUGGGCGGGCCGCGGCCGAUCACGCCCAAGAAGGACAAGGCCCCGGUGCAGCCUGUGAGCGCGCCGCGGCCGAUCACGCCCAAGGACAAGGCCAAGGCCAAAGCGCCGGUGGCGGCGUCGACAUCCUCGUCGCGGUGGGCCGCGGUGUCGCCGAGGCAGCUGAUGCAGAGGGCGUCCAACGCGUUCAAGGCCAGCAGCAGGUCCCGCAGCAAGAAGAGCAAGGAGGAGGCGGCGACCUCGGCGUCCGGAAGCAAGGGCGGCGCUGGUGCCACCUCCGCCAGGGCCAAAGACCAGACGGCGAGAGCACAGCCCGUCGAGGAGCAGAGCCAGCAGCCGGAGACGCCCGCCGAGCCGUCGCCUGCCGUGACUCCCGUGGAAGUAGAGGAUCCUGUGCUGUUGGACUCCGAAGCUGCUGACCAGAACGAACAGGACGUCCCGACGUCGCAGGAGGCUGUCAGUACUGACAUCACGACCGUGCCGGUGAGGUAUCACAAGGAGCAGGUCGGCGCAGGACAGCCGAAGGGAAAAGCGGAGGAGGAGGACGUCGCCGUGGAGGAGAAGAUCAUACAGGUGGAGGCUGAGGAGGUGAAGGCGGAGAAGCUGGAGCUGCAUGAAGACAGGCCGCAGAGCAGCGAGGCUGUGCAGACAGAAACGGAGGCCCAGAAGCACGCAGAUGAUGGUUCGCCGGCCGUCGUUGGAGAAGAAGCCGCGGCGAAGGAGGCGGCAGCACAUGAGGGAGAAGACGAGCCGACAACCAGCACGGUGGAAGAAAAGGUCAUCGAGGAGAGCCAGCAAGCAGAGGUGACUGAGAACUCGGAGGCGAACGUGAUCUCUGAUGAACCAAAACAGGAAACCAGCGUGAUCUCUGAAGAACCCAAGGAGGAAACGAGCGUGAUGUCUGAAGAAUCAAAGGAAGCAGCUGAUCCCACGCCUUUGCAGAAGCACGAGGAGGUGGUCGACGAGUCAAAAGUGACUGCCGGAUCGAGCGUGUCAGCUCCGACGACGCCACUUAGAGAAGCGGCCAACGACGACGACGACGACGUGGAGGCAGUGCCUAAACAGGUGAGCGCGUCGGAGCCCGUGACGCCGGUGGCAGAAGCCAUCAGCAAGGGGAAGGAGGUGAUGGAUACGCAGCAGCAGAGCGCGUCGGCGCCGACGACGCCGGCGGGCGCGGCAAAGAAGAGCGCGCCAUCGAAGCAGGCGACGAUCCCCGAGGGGUCAGCGGCGUCGGCGCUGGCGUUCAAGGGGCGCAAGGUGAAGACGGCCAUGGAGAAGCGGUCGGAGGAGGAGCAGCCGAAGAAGAAGGAGGUGGCGCGGAGCAACGACGUGAUCGAGGAGGCCAAGAGGGAGCUGAUGGAGAAGCGGAAGAGCAAGGUGAAGGCGCUGGUGGGGGCGUUCGAGACCGUCAUGGACAGCCCCCGGGCGAGCUGAUUUGAAUUUUUGGAGGGAAGGCCGAGUUGUGGUUUGAAUUUUGGCGGGGGUGUUUGGAUUGUUGCUUUCUUGUUUGUUGGUCCAUCGUUGCUUCUUGUGAUCACUCGAACAAAUGGAGAUGUGUGUCAUUGGCAUAUUGCUGAUUUGAUCAUUCUUGAUGAACCUGUUCUUUAUGAGGAGAACAUAGCAGUGUUUAUUUGGUUUUAACCGAUACAAUAUGUACGGUUUCUUCCUAAGAUUUUGACAUGUAUAAUGUAGUAUGUGAUUUAGCUUCUUCUACGGCAACCAUUUGGAGGUUGCCUUGCCUAAACUACAGAUCGAACGAGGCGAAGGCCUAUGACUAAACUAAAGAGAUUAGAGCAUCUGCAGUCAUGACCUUAGUGGAGAUCUCAGACAAUGCUUAAGGGCCGCCCAUCAACUAUUUGAAGGUGUGUGCUUGCAUGCGGGCUAAUUGCAACCGUGAAUGGUUUUGGAUUUAGAAUCUAUGCUAGACUCGCCUGGCAUUCCUGCAAGUGGGUUUUCUACUCCCUCCAUCCCAAAUUGUAAGUCAUUCCAAGAAACUUGGAGAGUCAAAGCAUUUUCACGUUUGACUAAAAUUAUAGAGUGAAAUACUAAGAUUUGUAACGUAAAGUGAGUAUACUAUGAAAAUAUAAUUAAAGAAGAAUCUAAUAAUAUUUAGUUGGUAUCAUAAUAAUAAUUAUUUUAUCAUUUAAAUUUGGUCAAACUUUGAAAAAAUUGACUCUCCAAGAUUUUUGGAAUGACUUACAAUUUAGGAUGGAGGGAGUAUGUAGAAAUAAAUAAAAACAAUGUUUCAGACUGAGAAAAAAAAUUCUGGAGAGCAAUGUCUCUUUUUAGACCCCUGUCCAACAGGUGGCAAGGAAAUUAAAAAUUUACAAGUGAGGCUGCGUUUUUAUUUUAGAGUAAACUAUUGAAAAUUAUUAGUAAUGAGUUAUUUUCCCUUUCCAAUAUUAAUUGAAAAGGUUGGAAAACUAUAUUUUGGAUUAUUUUUUUGGCACUGUUGGAAAUACUAGAGUUUGGAGAUUAGUACUAAUUACUAGUAGUAACAGUUGACAAGAAAAAAAAACAAAACAAAUCCGCCAAGAACAUGUUUGUCUUGCAUACACUUUUUAGCUGUCAGAAGCUACUUUAACAGAUUGUAUACAGGAAAACAAAGUAGAACAUCAGAAAAGAUUGGAAAGAUAACCACGUCCGAUCCUUUCCAAUCCGGAACAGCUAGAAAGCAUCUGAGGUGAUGGAACCUGAACGAAGCUGCAACCAGGCUUUAGCUGCUGAGCUCCAAGAAACGCCUGGCCAUCGGGUGCUUGGCAUCGGACAGCUCUGACGGCGCGAGCACCUCCACGAUCUCGCCGGCGACGACGAGGCACACCAGGUCGGCGAUCCGCUGGAUCUGCUUCACGCUGUGGGAGACGAUCACCGUGGUGAGCCCCCUCGUCUUCUUCAGCCGCACGAUGGCCUCCUCGAUGUUCUGUGUCGAGAUCGGGUCCAGCGCGCUCGUCGGCUCAUCCAGCAGGAGCACCUGCAGCAACCGAUCCGAUCGAUGUCAGCAAGCCGGCCAUGGUGGAGGACAUCGUCAGGAAGACGAAGCAUGCAUGAGAGGCGACGGUGCACGUGCCUCGGGGUCGUUGGCGAGGGUCCGUGCCAAGGCGACGCGCUGUGCCUGUCCGACCGACAGCUCGGACGCCGGCUUGGAGCACAGAGCAGGGUCCAGAUCGGCCAGGCUCAGCAGGUUCUUCACUUCGGCUUCAGUGAGCUUCUUGCCGCGCAACUGUGGCCCAUAUCGUACGUUGUCAGCCACGGUUCCUGCCAAAAGCACGCAGAAAAAAAAUCAGAAAAAUCAGCUUCGAAGAGGCCACUGAUAGAGCUGACUUUGUUUCAACUCCUUGCUCACACACACAGUCAAAUUUUUUAGUCUGUUGAGGCUGAUUGUUUUAAGGGCAAUCAGCACAUGACUCUUUUUUUAUCCUUAGAUCUGAAAAAUGAUGGAUUCAGGUCAAUUCUCUCUCUUUCACCCUUACAUAUUUGUUCUUCUUCCUCGGCGCGCACCAUCCUGACCUAUCCUCGAUAGCACAACUCAUCCUCGAUAGCACAACUCACCCUCGCUGCCCCACCCAGUUCUGACGGACCCUCCCCCUCUUCCGCAACCGCUGGAUCUGCCGCUAUCCAACACGAUCUGACGCUAAAUCAUCUAUUAUGCCACUUUCACAUCUUUUAUCUCUAGUUGAGCUCUUCCAUUGCCACCGUCUAGCUCCUACAGUGCAUUAACACCUACAACCAUCAUCAACCUAACUUGUGGCUUUGUCGGGCUAUCACCAUGACACCUCUGCUCUUGCCCCCACCCAACCUCCUUCCCCCACUACCCGGUCGACAGCUUCACACCACACCAAAUCCGCCACCACCAUCGGGCUAGUGACCUCCCCCGAUGAUCCCUCUAAGCUGAAUAGACUUAGGUAAGCCCUCGAACCCUGAAUCCUAAACCCACAUUGUAGUCUUCUUAACGUUCGAGAAGAAGGACAUAGUGCCAUCCUUAGAUUGGACAGAAAAAUUCAAGUGAGAGGAAGCUUUGAAUCAGUCAACUAAAUUUUAUCUUUACUCAAAAUUUAAGAGACAUGGUGAAAAAAUAUAUUCUAAAAAAAAUAAACGAAAUUCAGAAACAUCAGACCAUUCAUUCAGUGGAUUGUAAACAUCAGCAACAACAGUCAUUGAAUCUUUUAUGUUUACUAAAAAGUUAUGGCAUGAUGUGCCUAAUUAAUCUCGCCACACAUAACCUUACUGAAAUUGCUGCACCUACAUAAAGCAUGGCAUAAAAUGGAAAUAACACUUGUGCAAGGUCUGACAAAAAAUCGAGUCAACGACGUGUGUGGUAGGUUACUAGCAAAGUGUGGCGUAAUGUAGUUGCAGAUAAUAUAUCAAACAACUACCUCGCAAGUUAUAUGACGUGACUAACAUGUGAUGUAGCAAUAAAGUUAGCCGCAAACCAAACAUGUUGUAACCACUUGUGCCACUGUGAAUGUAAAGUAGCCUCUAAAUCUAUAUAUAACUUACCCACCUCCAUCAUUAAACGCGACUAGACAUUGGUCCAUUUAAAUUGUACCCAGAUCUUGCUUUGUCAAUUGAAGUUUGUGACGAUUUCACAAAGUUAAUUGCUUUUGCUGUCUCUUCGUUAAGCAAUCGAUUGUUUGCUAGGCUAGCCUUGGUUAAUGCUAUGGCACAAUUUACCGUUGUAUAUAUAUAUUUGAAAGAGACAAACCUACCUUACAUCCUGGCAAUACACUAGACCAGAUCUUCAGCAAUCCUAAAAUAUUUCGUGCUCUAUCAAAACUACAAGUUGGUUCUCUAUUGAUAAACUAGUUGUGUACUAGUACUAUCAAAGUUUUUUUAAAAAAAAGUGAAUGGCAUCCCACUUAAAUUUUUCAACGGUUGGAGCUUUCUUUAAAGGUUAGCUGGUUCGCCAUCAUCACGCAUCCUCUGUCAACUGAAGGAUGGUUAUUAUUUGUGCAUCUCAGGAUGUAGAAGCCAAGCACUACUGCACGUCUGCACUAAUGUGAAAUGAAAAGAAAAUCGUGGUGUGCUCAUAGUGAUGGCACAUAUAUAGUUUAUUUAUCAUGCACGUCCAUGUUAUCUGAGUACAGAACGGUACGGUGCUUAUCACCGGGGACUCGUUGACCUUUUCAAUCCAGAAAUGUCAGCUUGUGUAGCUUAUCACAGUUGGACACUUCCAUGUGCUUAGCAAAUGCCAAAUUGUGAUAUUUUUUUCCCUAGUAUUAUUAUAUGCAUUAUGCAGGCAAUUAACCGAUCGAACCUUGUGUUCUAGUUCCAUCAAUCAAUUGAUCGAUUUGAUCGAGCAUUGGCAACAUGAACAAACUGAUUCCGAGUUUUAUCCCUGUUUCUCUAUGCAGUAUAUAAAAAAAAUACGAGCUUUAUUCAACUUUGUCGAUGUACGUACCGUCGAACAUGGCGGGGGUCUGGAAGAGCAUGCCGACCUUGCGGCGCAGGGUGAGGACGUCGAUGGCGCAGAUGUCGGCGCCGUCGAGGAGCACGGCGCCGGGCGCGGGCUCCCAGAGGCGGUUGAGCGCGCGGAGCAGCGUGGACUUGCCGCUGCCGCUGGGCCCGAUGACGCCCAUGACGACCCCGCGCGGCACGUCCAGGUGGACGCCCCGGAGGAUCUCCUCGCCGGUGGCGGCGUCGGCGGACUCGGCGCGGCGCCGCAGCCCGCGCACCCGUAUCUUGGGCUCCGCCGCCGCCGCCGCCGCGCCGCCGUCCACGUCCAGCAGGUGCUCCCGGAGAUCAUCUGCCCAUGUCGUCGAAUCAUGUCAUGCACGGAUCGGACCUGCAGGUAAAUGGUAACAAUGGCCUGCCUGAUCGAUCGACCAGUACGUUGAGCUUGGUUGUUUCUCACCUGACGAAGCUGAGCCCAUUAUUGGCGGCGGCGGCGGCGGAGGAGGCGUCCGGAGCUGCUAGCAGCGAGUAGAGAGAGUGGACUCUCGGUGGAGGGAAAGGUGUGUGGAGGGAGAUGGGGGGUGCCGAUCCUGCGUCCCCGUCUCCGUGUGACCUGUGAUGUGGUGCUUCGGCUUUUUGGAGCGCAGGCGCAAGAUGGACGGAUGGGUUCUUUUCGCGGGGGCUUCAACUUGUCUUGAUACUAGUAAAAAAAAACUUGUCUUGUUUAGUCGUGAAAAGAUUUUGGAUUUUAAUAUUAUAGUAUUUUUGUUUGUAUUUGACAAUUAUUUUUGUUUGUAUUUGUCAAUUAUUGUUCAAUUAUAGACUAACUAGAUUUAAAAGAUUCGUUUCGUAAAUUGUAGAUAGACUGUGUAAUUAGUUUUUUAUUUUUAUCUAUAUUUAAUACUUUAUGUAUGUGCCAUAAGAUUUAAUGUGACGAAAAUCUUAAAAAGUUUUUUGAAUUUCAUGGUAAACUAAUCAAGACCAUGUGGUGCGUCAGUGCGUGUGUGCGUUGCCCUUGCGUGGCAUUUGGUGGCGGCCGGAAGAGCGGUGGCAUUCGGUGGCGGCCCGCAUUCGGUGGCAUACUGGUCCUGCGCAUGCCAUGGCACACAGAGCGUAUCGGUGUGUCAUUCUAGACUUUUUUUUCCUCCUAAAAUAAUAUUCUGCUAGUACUCAAAUUGGGUGGUUCUAGAUCUUUCCUGUCCAAUUCACCUAUACGGGGAACCGAUUGCCGAGCACUUAGCUGCAUGUCGCUCUAAAUCUCCUCAGCCGUUCGAUUGCGUGAUUAAUGCUCUAGAAUUAAUCCUCACCUAUCUACUGCCCUAGUAAAAAAAAAUCUUCCUCCUCUCUUUCUCUUCGUCUCUUCUCUUCUCCUCCCACUCUUUUCCUCCCGACUUCUGCAGAAGCACACGGCAACGCCACUGGCCCAUGGCCUCUCCCUCUUCUGUCUCAUCUCUCUCAUUCCUCACUCCUCUCCCUCUGCCAGCGCGUGGGCACGAGGCAAGCUAGGGCAUAGGUGGCGCUCCAGGUACGUCGCCUCUCUCCCUCUCCCGAUGUGGCGCAGCACCGGCAAGCGGACUCACUAAAUAGCGAACGUUCAUUAGAUUUGAAUCUGGCGAACGAUCAGACAGCCCCCACGACUUUUCUUUUUUGACAAAAAAAGAAAUCCCGCAAUUUUCUAUUUUUGGAAAGUUUUCUAUUUUAGGUCAAAAAAUCGCUACUUUUCUUUUUUGAAUAAUUGUACUCACAACUUUUACGUAAAAUUUAUGGAACAAACUUUUACGUAUAACUUAUAUACAUGACUUUAAUAUAUACCUUCACUGUGACAAAGUUACACACAUAACUUAUACAUAUAACUUACUACAUGAUAAAGUUAUACGAACAACUUUUAUCUAUAAUAUUUUAUGAAACAAGUUUAUCAAUAUAAUUUAUGACAAGACAAUUUAGCGAACGUUCAAAAAAGUUACAAUUAAAACUUAAGCAUAUAAUUUAAUUAAACCAAUUUUAACAUAUAAGUUAAUAACUGCAAGUUAAGCACAAAAUAUAAUAAAUCAAACAGUUUUGCAAAAAGUUAGACAUAAAAGAUAAUAAUUAUAAGUUAAUAUCUACUAGUUACAUGUAGAAAGUUAGAUAUAAAAGUUGUGUACAAAAAGUUAGAUAUAAAAGUUACGUGCAGAAAGUUAAUAAUUAUAAAAUUUACAUCUAGUAUUUUAAAAUAAAUGUUUUAUUUUUAUAUGACAUCAGCGGUGGUUAUGGAAAAACAUGCUAGAAGAGGAGGUAGUUUGAACCUUUGUUACAUCAAAUCUAAGUGAACGAUCGCCCAAAUAAAAUAAGGGUUGACAACAUAUAUAAAAAGAAAAAAUUGAUAGACUUAUAUAAAAAAUAAAAAGAGAAAAAAAAAAGGCAAAAGAAAAAUUAAAAAAUGUUUUAUAACUUUUGUGCUUCAAAGUGUUGGCAUAAGUUGUAAGUUAUAUGGUAGAAGUCAUAUGGUGAUAAGUUUUGCAAAGUGUUAUACCAAGUUGUUAGUAUAAUUUAUAGAAAUAAGUUAUAUUCUAUAACAUAUAUGUAUAACUUAGUCACCUUCUAAAAAUGAAAAGUUGCGGAAAUUAUCAUUUCUAAAUAAGGAAAGUUGCGGGAGUAGCUGAUGAUUCGCUGGAUUCGUUAUUGGUGAACGACCGUGGAAUUGGAUUUGUGACCGGCAAGCGGAGCCCCCACGGUGGCGCGACGACGAGGCGACGCGUCGUCAGUGCAAGCAGCCGCCACCCAGGAGAUAGUCCCGGUGUGGCCACACAUCACGAGUUCCAAUGGCAGCACAAUCGGCACAAAAAGCAGAAGCACUACCUAGAGGUUGUCCUGAUCUCCUCCGUUCACCAUAGGGUUUGCCGUUGUUCUGGUACUAAGGUACUCCAAUUUCACUUAUUUGCAGUCCGCAUUUGAUUUAUUUUUUCAAGUCAUGACAGCUACUAUAUGAGCUAAGCCUAAUAGAAUCAAUGAGAUACACUAAUUCUUUUUUUUAGCACUAGAUCUACAAACACGCUUAGAAUGGAAUAUAUCUCUAAAUAGGUCCUCAAUUUCUCGUGCUAUGUAAUUUUGCUAUUACACUUUCUAUGUUAACCAUAGUUAUUUUCUAUACCAAGAUCCUUCGAGGUGUGGUACCUAUAAUUUUUGUAUCUCUAUAUUAUUGAAAAAAUAUAUUUGCAGAUUAUGUUUAGUCUAUUAAGAGGAAAAAGGAAUAGUGUCCUACUCCCAUAUCUCAGUUUAAAUUAUUUACCAGUAAAAUUAAAAGUUUUAACCUUUUUGUUUAGAUCACCGGUGUUCUGAUGGUGUUUGAGUGAUUUUAUAACUUUUUCACAUCAGGUCAAAUGGUACCUUUAGUAGGAUACUAUAUUAAUGAAACAAAUUGAUUGCAGUAUAUACAUUUUCAUGCUGUAUUGCUAUACAUCAAUGAAUUUUUUUUUCUUUUAUGAAUUGUCAGUGAAGGUAAAGAGUUAUUGCAGGAGGGCGCUCAGUCAGGCUCGCUCCGGUUGCUUGCGGCCGCACGCUCUUCCCGACCGAAUUGCGUCGUGGUGUGCCGCGUGCCUCUGAGUUUUGGCCCGGAGGCCAAAAGGCCCGCCCAAAACAGUAGCGCUACUAUAUUGGGAUUUAAGCCUCUACUAAGGUAAGGUACAAGACUAGUUGGGUCCUAUUAAUAAGAACUGAGCUUCCUAUGUGGGCUAGGAAGCUCACUGUCUUCAUAGAUGGCCUGAUUCUUCCCCUCUCCAAAAAAAGGUGAAAAAAAAACAAUGGCCUGAAUUGGCUCAAAAUAGUUUGCACUGACCGUUUACUGGCUGCCUCCAUGAUUAUGGAUCAGCAGCAGUAUCAAUCAGCAGUUAGUUCUUUGCUUUCACGCCCAGGUACCUCUGUCUGCUAGGCAGCUCUUUUUAGGCUAUCGAUUUCAGUGGCUUGAUCGUCAAGAUCAUCGCUGCCUGACACUGAGAGGUGCAGCUGGUUUCACGAAUGUUGAGGCCAACAGGUUGCUUGUUUACCCACCGAUGCUCCAACGACGCAGGUGCAUGUGGCGCCGAAGAUCGAUUGCGGGCCUGUUUAGAUUGGGGAUGAAAAUUUUUUGGGUGUCACAUCGGAUGUGUCGGAAGGAUGUCGGGAGGGGUUUUUAGAAACUAAUUAAAAAACAAAUUACAUAGCUCGUCAGGAAACUGCAAGACAAAUUUAUUAAGCAUAAUUAAUCUGUCAUUAGCAUAUGUGGGUUACUGUAGCACUUAAGGCUAAUCAUGGAGUAACUAGGCUUAAAAGAUUCGUCUCGCGAUUCUUAACUAAACUAUGUAAUUAGUUUAUUUUUUUAUCUACAUUUAAUGUUUCAUGCAUGUGUCCAAAGAUUUGAUGGGAUGGAUGAAAAAUUUUUGGGUGGUGAACUAAACGGGCCUGGGAUAAAAUUUUUUUGGGUGUCACAUCGAAUGUGUCGGAAGGAUGUCGGGAUGGGUUUUUAGAAACUAAUAAAAAAACAAAUUACAUAACUCGUCAGGAAACUGCAAGACAAAUUUAUUAAGCAUAAUUAAUCUGUCAUUAGCAUAUGUGGGUUACUGUAGCACUUAAGGCUAAUCAUGGAGUAACUAGGCUUAAAAGAUUUGUCUCGCGAUUCUCAACUAAACUGUGUAAUUAGUUUAUUUUUUUAUCUAUAUUUAAUGUUUCAUGCAUGUGUCCAAAGAUUCGAUGUGAUGGAUGAAAAAUUUUUAGAUAGGGAACUAAGAGAAUCAUGCAUGUUUGAAUGAAUGUCACCGGCCAACCAACAAACAGCUGCCAAUAACUUUGUGGCGCUACUACAACUGUACGUAACCAAAGCAGGCUCAUUGAAUUCAGAUGUAAAACUUUGGAGAUUUUAUAUUUGGUUGCGAAAUUUUUUGCAAAAUGAUUACUUUAGCAUUUUCGUUUAGAUUCGGUAAUUAUUAUUCAAUCACUUACUAACUAGGUUUAAAAAAUUUAUCUCGUAAAUUAUAGAUAAACUAUAUAAUUAAUUAUUUUUUGGCUAUAUUUAAUAUUUCUUGCAUGUGACGUAAAGAUCAAUAUGCCAGAGAAUCUUGAUCAUUCUGUAAAAUGGCCCAAGAACUAAACAGGGCCUCUGUUAUUGCACAGAUCGUUUGCUACAGUUAGCCAUCUCCUGCCUUCACUUCGAUAGUUAGGGCCUGUUUAGAUUGGCAAUGAAAAUUAUUUAGGUGUCACAUCGAAUAUGUCGGAAGGAUGUCGGGAGGGUUUUUUAGAAACUAAUAAAAAAACAAAUUAUAUAGCUCGUCAGGAAACUUCAAGACAAAUUUAUUAAGCAUAAUUAAUAUGUCAUUAGCAUAUGUGGGUUACUGUAGCACUUAAGGCUAAUCAUGGAGUAACUAGGCUUAAAAGAUUCGUCUCGCGAUUCUCAACUAAACUGUGUAAUUAGUUUAUUUUUUUAUCUAUAUUUAAUGUUUCAUGCAUGUGUCCAAAGAUUCGAUGAGAUGGAUGAAAAAAAUUUAGGUGGGAAACUAAACAGGGCCUUAGUACUAGUAUUGACGUAACAAAAAAUCUUUUUAAAAGAGAAUUCACUACAAUUGUUUUAUCACGUCGGUGUUACAGCUACUACUCGUAGUCGUAGCUCUCAUCACUCACCGAUUUCAGAAGAAAUAUAGCUGGCAACCAAUGAAACAAUGAUGCGUCACUUGUUGACUACAGACCAUUGAAUGAACACGCGCCAUGUUUCCCUAGCCUAAACCUACAUACACUACUCAAUGUGUUCGUUCGUACUACACGUGCGUGCGUGGCGUCAAAGUUGGGAGCAAUGUGCCUGCCUCAGACUUCCGAGAUGGCACUGCAGAAUAUCAUGUGUUGAGUGGCGACGGUGGUUCUGAAAAUCAUGCUGCGUCCGACAAGUUCCGAACAAAAAAUCAGUUCAUGUCAGCCAGAAACUAAUCGAUGGAUGUCCGUAGUAGUUAAACUGGGGUUACGUAGUAACGUAGGGGAUGACGAAGGCAAGCAGCACAUGAACUGAACGAUCGAGAUUGCAUCUCUUCGAGUACUGUAAUGACGAAACAGAGUUCGGACAGCACAGUAGCAUUAUGUAUAUCCCCCGGUGCUUUGUCGUCUGAUUCAGACUGAAACUACGGCUCCCGGCUCCAUCAUCAUCAGACAUCACACGUCGCUUCAUUCGUGCUACUAGCACGGACGAAUUAUUGACAUGAUUUGAAACCGACGGGGUCUGGAGGAUUGGAUCCCUAUUGGGCGGUCAAUGCCGUGGCGGCCCGUUCGCCGAGCUGGCGUCACUCUAAACACUGCAGCACGUACUGUACCUCCCUGGCACGACGGCGUAACAGUGCCGCUAAUCACGUCGCGAAUCUCACCUAGCUUCCUUCCCUGCAUUAUGCGAUGCUCGACGUCUUGCUCAUUGCUGAGCCAUGCUGUAUUGCUGUGUGUCACUCAUGCAUGCGACUAUGCGAGCUCACCUCAUCACCUGCAGUACAACGCUGCGCACGCAUUGGCAUUGCAACUGAGUGGGCCGGUGGGGUGGGCCGGCCGGCCGGGCUGGCGGCUGAUGAGCCUGGGCAUGCGUGCCCACCUCGGAACGUCGCCGUCGGUGGUCCUCCGCGUCGCCAUCGAUCGGUCAGAGAGUCAGAGAGAGAGAGAGAGAGAGAGAGAGAGAGAGAGAGAGAGAGAGAGCGCCUCAACCUCAAGUCCUCAACCAUCCCGUCGCCAGAUUGACGACGAAAACGACGCGUGUCGGUCUACUAGCCAAACCCCGGUCGUUGAAACUUGAAAGGAACUUGCAUGCAUGGGAGCACUGGGACGUGAUACAUUACAUGCUACUGUCGGUCCUACCACCACCACCACCCACGGCAGUACUGCCAUAUUCAGCUUUAAUUUAGAGUUAGAUUUAUUAUAAAAUAUAUUUCUAUAAAAUAUAUUCAUUUUAUGUUAUAUAUAUUGAUGUUUUUUUAUAAAAUUGAUUAAACUUUAAAAAAAAUUACAUAGAUUUUAGGAAUUCAGAUUUCAGAGACAGAAGGAGUACAAGCUUGCAAAUACUGUGCUGUGCUGGGUGAGACAGUAAGUUAAGGUGUGAAUGGUGAUAGGCCGUAUGAACCUUCUCCAAGAUUGACAUGGGAACAGACAUACUAGACCCGCUAGGUUUUAUAUAGACCCAAAUUCGUAGGAUUUAAAAUAUGACUGUUACUAGUGUUUCGUGUUAAAACUCAUCAUGUCCAUACGGGUUAUGUGUAUCUAUUGGGCCUCCGCUGCAGUAUGAUUAGAUGGAGGAGGGGGAGUAAGCUAGGUUUAAAUUUUGGAUGAGCAUGCAUGUUAACUUGUUUUACAUACAGCCACUGAAUAGAGACAUGUCUAUCAAAACAGUGAGGCAUUGUUGGCAGAUAUGAGUGAGUUCAUAUGAUAGAUCAUGUUUUCAAUCUCUAUGGUUCUACGAGUUUGAGUAGUACACUCUCCGACGCCGCUCGCAAACAUGUUGGAUCAAGCUUUUUUAUCCAUUAACAAACUCACAUAUAACACGAUAAAAAGCCUACCAGGUUUUUGGCUUUACCCAUGUUUGAUCAGUCCCCGAUCCCAGGGCUGUUUUGCCAACCGUCUACAUGAACGAAAUUGAACUUCAUUGCGGGAAAUUUGGAUUUCAUCAGGGAGGAAAUGGCGAGGCCGAGGGUGCUAGCUUGGCUGGGAUAGGAAUUAGGAAGUUUCGUUGUGAAGUACCCGUUGCCGUCUCUCUGCUCCACGGUCCCCGUUCUGACCUGUAACGGUACCAAACAAAACAGGGUGGAGUACAUUCGACACAAAACAAAGGAAAAAUAUCGGUGCGCGCACGAACGAACGACGGAACGAGCACAUCGUACGGCGACGCAGAACGGGAUUGAUUGCAUGUCACGAGAAUCAUGUCGGCAGCACUAGCAGUAGCAGUCCAGCGCCGUGUACUAGCAGUAGGAGUAGCAGAAUGUAUAGUGGUUCCUGCGAGGCCUGGGUUCGUGGUUUCCCUGUCCCAGAAAGCGGCAUCGUUGCUUUUCGAAAAGCCGCCCGCUAGUGGUAUGUGGCCGCUUCUUGGGAUACCGUAUCGGAGCCGCGAUCAUGAGGGCGUGUCACGAGGACGGCAGCCGUGUCGGGACCGUGUCCGAGCCCACGACCAAAAAAGCGGAGCGGCCGAGAAUGGAGAGGUCCAGCCGUGGCCGGACUUGGCCACCGGAGAGCUGAGAUCCCGCCUGCCGCGUCGAUGCCUGCCGGUUCUGUUCGCAAGACGCACCGCACCGCGUGUCACGAGGGGAGUCAUGGAUGCGGAGCUCGCGACUACGCUCUGGCGUCCUGGUCCGGGCGGCGAGUGAGGCCAAAAAGGGAAGGCGCCUGCCACGCCCACGGUGGGAUCAUGGGCGUACACGUCCCUGCUGCUGCAGGGUGCAGCAGUGCAGGCUCACGGCUACAGAAACCGCAGCGAGACAUACGGAGUACGUACUCCGUAUACUAGAACGUACGCCCGGGCACAGUACAACGCACGACGGGGAUCAGUGAUCCCCAGACCCACAGCCACAGGCCACACAGGCUACGGCGCCCCACCGAGAGAGAGCUCGAGCUGCGCCAUGUACAGCGAACUGAUCGCGGCCGUGUCAGGCUCGCCCACGCACGCACAGAGGGGCAGGCAGGCAGGCGCUGAAAAGGGCGAGAAAUUUCCCUUCAAUGCGGCAGGGGAGAGGCAGCAGAAGUGCACAAGGCAAAAUUUAACGCGAGAACGUGCGCGCGCGGGCCACGCCACACGACGGCAGCAGCAAGCAAUCAUGGUCGUCGUCCCGCGGGAGUAUUCGAAGCGGCGCACCCGUGUGUGAUACGGUGACAUAGCCGUUGGGGGCCGGCCGUGGCACGGGCACGGCGGCAUGGGAUGGGGGACAGGCGGUGGGUGACUGAUGCGCGGCACGGAGAGCACGAGGCCACGACGGCGUGCGGCCGGCGCAGGAGGCAAGCGUGCGGCCGCCGAACGCUCCGCCCACGCCGCGGGUACGUACGUACGUUACCAUCUGCUCGCUAGACAACGCCGGAAGGAACAAAAGCGAGAUGCCUGCUGGUGGUGCAGUUGCGCUGCUUGACAUGCUCAUGUGCUCGCACGCAUGCCAUGCAGCUCGUUGGCCAAGUCACCUACACAUUGUAGUAGUACAGUAGUAGUACACCAAAAGGCCGAGGCACUUUUCUUCCUCCUCAUGCACAGCGAGACAAAAGAACUUUUUCGCAGGCAGCAGUACAACUACACAAAGCACGCUUCAGCUUUCGUAUGGUUCCCUAACCCCCGACCCGGCCGACGCAAGGCGCCAAUUCCUCACCUGCGCAAGCGCAGCCGCACGCACGCACGGGACACGGCCACAGGCGCACGGCACGGCACACAGCGGCACAGCGCUCGACCGAUCGCCGCGCCUCCCGUCCGGCCCGGCCGCAGGGGAUCCGCGGCGCGGCCAAGCCUCGAUGCCCGCGGCGGCAUCUGCGGGGCGGGACGAGCGGGACGCAGCCAAUCCGCGCCGCACGUACACUACCAGCCAGCAGGACCAACACAUCCCGCCUCGAGAUUCCCGCGAAAGCGACAUCCCUUCCGCGCCUCCUCCUCGCUCUCCGGCGCGGCUUCCGAGGCCGGCCGGCGUGGCCCCGGACGAAAGUAGGGAGGGCCCCUCCCCGCCAAUACAUAAUUCCCACGCUGCCCAUCACGUGACGCGCCGGCGACCACGGAGAGCGGCCAGCCGCCCCGCCCCGCCGCUUUACUGAUCUGUGCAAUUGCGUGGCAUCUGGCAUGAACGACGUCGACGGCGGAAAAACUUUCUUCUCCCGGCUGCAACGUGGGGUCCCGAGCCACGCAGGCCUAGGCGAUAGGGCCGUUACGCCCGGGCGUGGCCCCACGCGGCGCCCACCAGCUCGACCCGGGCCACCGCCGUGCGCCACCGCCAGCGGCUCGUGGCUCGCCCUCGCACGCGCCGGCGCGGAUGGGCGGGAGGCGGCGUACCCCGGCCGCCAGCUCCGACAGGCUCCGCACGCCGAUGGCGCUCCUGGCGUUACCGCCGGAGUUGACGACGGCCGCGGAGCAGGAGUAGCGGCCGGCCUCCGUGACGAGGAACUCGGCGCGGACGAACAUGAGGUCGGACGGACGCAGGUCGCUCCAACGCUGCUGCGCCGCGGGCGCUGUCUCGCCCUCGCAACCGCCCGCGGUGCUCACCAGGAUGCGGUGCCCGAACCGCCGGUCGAGCGCCACCGGGUCAGGUUCCGCCACCAUGGCCGCCGGCUCCACCAGCAGAACCCGGUCCUUGCGCGCCUUGGCGGCGCCGUCGAAGCACCCGACCGCGACGCCGCCGUCGGCCGAACGUCGCGAGGCCGGGCCGACGCGCCCGGGCGCGCGCACGGAACCCGUCGAGUGCCGGCCAGAGAUCCUCCGCCCAGACUGCACGGGCGUUGGAGCUGGAGCAGGAGGCGGAGCCGGAGCUGACUCUUUGGCCGCCGCCACCUUCGUCUCUGGCGGGUCAGGGGGUCCCGUGGUAGACGGCUUGGGCGGCUCCGGGAGGAGGAGGACAUCCUCCGGGUCGACGCGAGAGCGGCAGAGCGGGCAGGUGGAGUGCGCGUCGAGCCAGGUGUCGACGCACUCGACGUGGAAUCCGUGGCGGCACUUGGGCAGCAGCCGGAGAGCCUCGGUGGGCUCGAACCGGCCAAGGCAGACGGCGCACUCGAGUCCUUCCUUCUGCCCACGCAGCGCGCCGAAGCGGAACACGGGCAGGGACUCGACGACGGCGCGGUCGACGCCGGAGUUCCUCCGGUCCCCGCCGCCCGCGCCACCGGCGCCAGAGGACCCGGAGCCGCCGGCGCUCCCGUAGGGCCCCGACGACUCCGCGGCGCUGCGCUUGCAGUGCUUGGCGUAGAGCAGGAGGAGGAACGUGAUGGAGAAGACGCUGGUGAGGAUGCCGACCACGACGGCCACCCCGGGACGGAACGGCGUGGCCGAGGACGGCGGCGGCGGCGACGGCAGCGGCGACUCGAUCGCGCCGUCGUAGUCCGACAGCAGGAGCCGCCGCGUCCGCUCCAUCGCCUCCUCCUCCUCUCGCAGCGCAGGCCCGGCUAAGGCGAAGCUUCGCUGGCGAUGACCGAUCGAGGUCGAGGCGGGAGCCAGUGAGCCGCACGCGGUGUUGCUGCCGGGUGUGGGUCGCGCUGCCGGUGGCCGCUGCUGCCACCACAAGCGUUCACGAUUUGUAAUCAAGCGGUAGUAGGGGUAAUAAUAGCGGUGGAGACUCGUAGAGUGGAGCGGCAGCAGGCUACUCCUAGGCUAUAGGCUAGCUCUUCCAGCAGUGGGGGCGGUGAGCCGAUCUCCCGGCGAUGGGGCCUCGUGGCGAGGAGAUGAGGCAGUGGGGGGCCUGGGAGAGUGGACCCACGUCAGCUGCGCUGCUCCGCCGGUGAAGCCACCCGCGUGCGGCUUGUCGCCGAGGGAGAUGAGAUGAGAGUGGCAUCAGUACAGUACAGUACAGUACACAGGGGCACUGACAGUUUAGUUGUGGCACUGUGGGGCCAUGUGUCAGACGAGGAACGCAGUUUGGUUGUUUGUUUGUUUAUUUAUUUAUUUAUAUUUUUGUCUAAAGAAAGGCGAGAAUCGCAGCAUGGCUGCAUGGGUUGGCGAGCAGAGACAGAGACCCCUGUUUCAAGCGAGUAAUCUACUCCUGCUUGUGCUUAGCACGCAUUUAAGAAGGAUGGGGUGGGAGAUUACUGUUCUGGACAUCCCAUCAAUACAAAUCGCUUGUGGGCAAGAUGGGAACCCCACCACCUUUUUAAAAUUUGGCUGGCAACAUGGACAUGGCGCCUGAGAUCGGACGGAGCUCGUGCGCGCGGCCGCAACGCAGCCGAGGGAAUGAAUGAAUGCCCCCGUCCCACAAAAAAAAGAUCAGAGCAGAGAGCAGAGCGUGGGCGUGUGCUGGCUCGUGUGGUGGGCGCGAUUAGCGCCCAGCCGCAGACACUGCUUCGGCGGGCAGCCACGGCCCGGCCCGGCCCCGCUUGGCAGUCAUGGCAGGCGAGCGAGACGGUGAUGGUGGCAGUGUGGGCGCGGGUAUCCGUCCCGUGCCGUUCUGUUCCGUUCCGCCGGGCGCGGGUAUCCGACACGUGAGCCUGCCCUUCCUCUGCUCUCGCAUUUUGAAUGUUUGCUGCCAAAAAAUAAUAAUAAUAAUAAUUUUCAGAGGGCGCCUCGUCCGGUCCGGCCUUCGUCGUUCGUCCCAUGGAGCGGCAGGCAGGCCGCAGCCCAGAGCCAGGAUCGGCAGCAGGACCAGUGCUGCACUUUCCGUUUCAGGGACUGCUGGUACUGGAUGCCCCGCCGUUUUCAAGGGUGCAAGGUAAAAAUCAAUUCGUGCCCUCCAAACGGUGAGAGGUUUGGGUACGCUCUGCACUUGAAGAUCAGAGGUGUGUUUUCAGCUGAGACCUUGAUUUCGUUCGGGGCUUGGUGUGCCUUGGGCAAGCAUGCUCAUUGUUCGCUUUGCUGCCCUGCUCUCAUGUCGUCCGGCGAGUGGAAUUGUGGAAAAGGAGGAGAGCGGUACCGGUACGGUACGGAGCGGCGAGCGCCGCGCUCUGCCCGGCCGGGGACGGGACAGCGGUGGCUCCAGUAGAUCUGGAUGCGCCGGCACUGUGCAAGUACACGCCAAUGAUAGCCCACCAUGGCCACUUGCUCACUGCUCAUGCACUCUGCUCACCGUCCGUCGUCUGUCCGUGCCCCUGUUUCUCGCGCCUCUGUCGUCGAUCCUCCUUGGGCCACACCCACACCAAACCAAACUCGCCAUCGACCGGCCGGCUUCGGCUUCUUCUUCACCCGCGCGCGGCUAGCUAGUGAAACACCGGAACCCUACCUGAUGGCUCGUGGCUGAUUCCUGACGCCUGGACUGGGUGCGUGCUCAUUGCUCGACAACAGUUACCGCCGCUGUGGUGCAAUAGUUUCACGCCCGGCCGGAUUCCGUACAGCUCGGCGGCGCGGCAUGCACACACACUUAGGCCCGGCCGGCGCGGCGGGCGACAUAAGUCUGUUCGGCGCGCGACGUACACUGCGCGUGCUGUACGAGUACGCUAGCUGUAACUGGAGAGAGUUUACCUUACCGCAUGCGUCGACGACGAACGAGAGCUAAGCUAGCUAGCUAGCUUUGGCCUGAUGCUGCUGCCGCAACUGGACACGGUGUACCCUACCGGCGGCUGGCCGGCGUCUGGAGCUAGCUGCAUGCGGGCCGGGGGAAGAUGAUGAUCGAUCCAGCAGCCUGGUGGCGGCACUGCGGCAGCGCGUGUGAGGAUGUAUUGGUGGGACGACGGUGAUGGCCGGAACAGUUGAGCGGCUUGUCGCCGAGCGCCGAGAGAGAGGAAGAGCGCACGUUGCGUAUAUGUGCAUAUAUGUGUGCGUGGUGGAACGGGCAGGUAACGUCGCGAUCCUAGCUGCAGAGCUAGUGUAGACGUUCACUGUUGGCUCUGACGACGACACACCUUGGUGCAGGGCGUCCCAUGUAGGACACUGGGUUGGUAGACGACGACGCGUGGGCCGGGAGAAGCCGACAUGGUUGAUGGUUGUGCCGAAUCUACUGACGUCGUCUCCUCUCCUUGUUGUUGAGCUUCGGCAAUUGCUGCUGCCAUGGUUAUUGUUGGUCGCUCCCAGUCCCAGACUCGCAGUUAAACCCAAAGCUUCAGUUUCGACCCCCAUAUGGCCAUAUGGGAAGGGAAGAAGGACCUCUUUGACAUGUUUGGGCGAGCCUACACGAAGCCCACAGCCCACCCGACGUCUUGUGAUUCUUUGGGCCCAGCCGUCGCCGUUAAGGGGCACUACCCUACGCAAAGUUGGCCCAGGUCACAUGGUGAUGGUGGAGGCUUCUUGAGCGGCCUGGAGCUCAAAGGGAAAUAGUGAGGCGGCCUUCCUUGUCCAACGCAUUCUUCAGGCCCACUAUGCUGCCUGCGAUCCCUACUUUGCUAGACACACGGGGCAAAGCGUCUAGUCAACAAUUUUUCUCUCCACAAAUGCUGUUUGCGGCAAAUGUAGCCUUCAUAAUGGACCGGACUGUGGCCCAAUGCCAUCCUCCUCUAGAGUCCUGGUGCACCAAAUCGGUUUUGCAUCUGCUCUAAAAAAAACUGUGUUGCAAGCAAAAAAAAAACUAUGUUGCUCAAAAAAAGCAAAAAAAAAAAAGGGUGCAGUAACUGGUAAUCUGGAGAAAACGAAUAAGAUAUGCUUUUGUAUUUUUAUUAUUAUAUUAUAUAUACGGUACCACUAGUAUUUUGGAUAAGGCUUGUUGUUUCUCUUUGUGUUGCAGCACAGUUGACAAGUGGAUUCUGUACUUCAAAUAAGCAUGUCCGAAAGAAACACGAAAAUAGUCCCCCGAAACUCUCUUGCUCGGGCUCGUCAAUGUCCAUCUUCCCGUAUUCGUAUGAACCAUGUAGGGCCCUUUCUCAGUCUGUGUGCUCCAUGCCACAUCUACAGGCUGUUUUGGACUAGCUUAUUUCCAGCCUUUUUCUUUUAAUUUCUUUCAUGCCUAUAAACUCGAUAUGUAAACCGGGGUAAACAAACAGCUAGCCGUUAUUAGGCGAUGAAAGCUGAUAUUUGUUUGUCUCCAAUUAUUACCACUGGAUGUGAUGCGUGGGCAUCUCACACGGCUAAUCAGAGAUGUAAAUAUCUUGCCUGGUCUAGCUAGAUGACCUGUGCAAUUCAGCCCAAACGAGAUAUUUUGGCAGAUUCGUGUAGGGUUGGCCUGGGCAUGCAGCAUUCUGGGUCCAACGAUAAUGGCUAGCUGUCGCACGGAUGACACGGCAAUGACACGGUGCAAGCACGCAGUUCAUGUCAUUGCUCCAGUGUCCUCCUCUCCAACGUUUUCGGUCGCACGCAGAACAGAGAGCACUCUGUCCGUGCGAGCCCAGUACGAGGCGGGCUAGGCUAGCCGUGUAGUAUGUAGGACGCGUCGCGCGCCCGCGAAUUGGACGAGGCCGCUGCGCUGCGUGGUCACCGCGCACGGCAGACGGGCACGCAUGGCCUCCAUGCCUGGGGCAGGGCUGGGCAGGGCAGGGCAGCUCGCGCUCGCGGUCCCGGCCGGGUUGCCUGUCCGCCUGCCUGCCUGCGCGGCGCUCUUCCAGACGACCUGCUGGCCCGGGCCAGCCGGACGCCGGGGACGCCGGUCUGGCUGGCACCAGUGCGCGGUGCGGCGCGCCUGGACAAGGCCGACAGGCGCCAGCUGUGAUGUGCAAGCAUACAAUACGAUCCCCGCUCCAUCGAUUCGAAUCCAGGAGCAUGGGCGCAGCUUAAAUGCUGCAGUGGUACUCUACCGUUACAGUAGAUUGGAGGACCGAAGGAGGUAGUAGGCAGGCAGCAGUGCGUAGUACUACUCCUACAUGCAAUGCACCGAGUAUGAUGAGCGCAGCUGGCACCUGCUGCGGCGCAAUGCCAAUGCCAUGUCCCCCGUUGCUCCUCCUUCGAUGCCGACGCCCAACGUACUGUACGUGUCCCGUGAUGAUGCCAAUGUGGCUGUCCAGUACCGCAGGUGUUUGAUUGGAGUUGUUCUAUUGUAUUGGACGUGGCAGCGCGCUGCGCAGCAGAAUGGUGCGCCCAUGGUUCCACGUUAUCACUCUAUUAAGUCCUUAUUACGAAACCCAGCACGGCUACAUUUGUUUGUUACGGUAUAUUUUAGCAAUUCUAGAUUUUAGAUUUUAUUAUACGAUUUGAAAGGAGGAGAAUACUCUAGUGUGCCAUGGUGUAAUUGACACUCCUCAAGCGCACAACAUAGUUGCAAUCUAUACAUAUUCGUUGAACAUUCUAGAUAUUCAACUGGUCUAUCAUAUUCAUCUCAUCAUGAUGCGGUUUAAAGAUUGAGGAGAUCGACCAUCACAGUUCCAUCUAUUCACAAUUUCUCAUGUCUAAUCCUACUAUUGCCUUUGUUCUAAAUUAUAAAUCGAUUUAUUUUGAUAUAUAGAUUUUACUAUAAAUCUAGACAUACCAAAGAAAAUCAAAACGACUUAUAAUUUAGAACGGAGAGGUUAUUACUAAUUAGAGGGUCAAAUAAAGACACCACGUUAGUUCCCACCAAAUAUGCUAGAAGAAAAAAAAAGAUAAAUUCUAAAAAUUCUCACAAUAAACAAAACACAUGCAUCUAGCCUUUAAUUUGCUAGACUUGAAUCAUCAUCAUCGACAAUAGCCAUUGAUCUAUUGUAAUUUAGAAUAAAAAGAACUCACCACUGCCAUUAUUAUGAAUAAACUCUAUCCAUCACUGCCAAUACGCAAGAUAAUUCAGAAUAAUCCCCUAGAUUUGUAUAUAAAUUAGAUAACUCAAAUAACCCUAAAUUUGCAUCUAAAUUAUACACCUUUAUCAUUAUAAAACACAAAUCCAAAUAACCCCAUAAGAUUGCAUCUAAAUUACCCAUCUUUACUAUUAUGAAAGGUAAUUUCAAAUAACCCUCAAACUUUAUAUCCAAAUUACUCACAUCUACCAUUAUGAAAGAUAUAAAUUAAAAUACACAAUGCUUCCAUAAAUCCCCUUCCUUAUCAUUAUGAAAUUUUUUUGGAAAGUAAACUGUGAGUAUCUAUAUGUUACAAAAUAAAUAAGAACAAAAUCUAAAUUUAUUUAUCAUAUAUAUUAAAUAAUAGCUAAGUAAUAUUUCCUAAAAUUCUAACCUGUGCGAGAGCAUGGAUUAAUGCACUAGUAGAUACUUAAUCGAGUCCGGAGUACCCUAACCACAACAUGCCGUCAAGUUUUGUUCUCAUUGUAGACAUAUAAUUGAUAUUUUUUUUUCUUAUGCUAGUAUUAGCCUUUACGUGCACGUUUGCACCUACUCCCUCCGUCCCAAAAUAAGUGUCGUUUUCGCUUCCCGAGAAAUAACUUUAACUAAAUAUAUAGUAAAAAAUAUUAGUAUUUAUAGUACAUAAUCAGUAUCAUUGGAAAGAUCUUUAAGUCUAGUUUUUUAACAAAUUUAUUUAGAGAUAUAAAUAUUGCAUAUAUUUUCUACAAAUUGAGUCAAACUUGUGGCACAAAAAUCUAAAACGACACUCAUUUUGGGACAGAGGGAGUAGUCUUCAUGAUUUCAUCUGUAUUUUAGGGUGUGUUUGGGACUGCUCUGCUCCACGUUUUUUAGCCAAACGGUUUCAGCUCCACGCACUCAGUUCGAGAAAAAAGAUAGAGUUGUGAGAGCACCUAAAGAGGUACUCCACGAACUCCAGUUGUUUAUGCGAAUGGUUGGCGUGCAUGUUUGCAUGUCAUACUCUAUGUUGACUAUUUUGUACUGAAACCACGGCUGAGACCAUAUUGGACCAUAAACAAGCUAAGUACAAGAAUGAUCCAAAGUUUUUUAAUACUUUGUCUGAUUGGAUAUUAUAAUAUUUACAUUAUCUCAAUUGAAUUAAUAGUUAAUAUUGUAUUUUUUUACCAAAUUUACUCAUAUAAAACUGUUAGCAACAGACCUCACUAAUACCAUAACAAGCAUGAAGAAGUACUCUCAAUCAAUACAAUCCGAUAUAACAAAGUGAGAUAGAGUUUAUAGAAGGAAGUUAUGUCAAAAAUACAAAGUUUAAGUACGAUAUUGGUCAUUUUGAUAGUUCAGUGAUAAAACUAAGGCCAAACGAAAACUUUAAGAACCGAAAUGGCAAUUUAAGGACUAAAUUUAGCCUUUUGCAAUACUUGAAAAGGACCAAGAUGAGAAUUCUGCCAUGAUUAAACAAAUGGAUGUGUAAUUUGAAUCUCUCUCUUUUAAAUAAAAAAAAACAGGAGAGGUUUUGUCCCAAUGCUGGAAAUAUACUAAUAGAAAAAGGUACAGUACAAGUGCAGAGGAAAACAGUUUAAUCUAAAAGGAACAACAGAAAACUAGAGUACAAGUACAGGGAUAAAAUUAGCUCUCAAGAGAAGUUUGCUUUCCAUUCCUGAAAUCUGAUGAGAUAUUUCCUCUUGAUUCGGUGAACUAAGCUCUAGUUCCAGAGAGCAGGUUCUUGCAUUCUCAUACCGAGGCAGGUAUACCUUUGAAGAUAUGAUUGUUCCUAGUCAUCCAAAUUGCACAGCAUUAUUCAUAGUAAUUUGUAUCUCUAGUAAUGACGAACAAAUAGCAUACGAUAGCCCGAGGAUCUUAAGUUUAUUUGAGUACAAGUUUGUUGGUCCUGCAAUUCUUUAGUUCUUGUACUUGACAAACGGGGCUGUAAUUUUUGCUUGAUGACAUUGCAUCAAGUCACACUAGCACAUUAUGUGAGAAAGCACUUGGGCUCAGGGAUGAAGCCAGAAAAAAAUUUAGGGGGGCUGAACAAAAGUGCUACGUCGACUUAGCUCUACUAUAACCCAUUAUAAUAUAAAAAUAUAAUAGCUCGAAGUAGUUUUAUAUUGAAAACAUCAAUCAGGAAUGAAAUUCACAAAAUAACUCAUAAAAAGUAAAAGCCCCAGCCCACCUUAACUUAUACAUUUGUGCUUAAAAUUAAAAAGAAAAUACUAAGAACUCUACUGGUCCAGCAGCGGUAGGGGGGGCUAGAGCCCCCCUAGCCCUACCGCUGGAUCGGUCAAAUGGGGAUAAACACAGUAACAAACAUCCUUUUGUGUUCAAAAUUCCUUGUAACCUGACAGCACCUUGACUCGAUCUCGACAUAUGUCCAAAAGCGGCCGUGCUGGUUUGUAAAGAGUAGACCAAAUCAGCACACCUGUAUAGGUGUACCUAACGACAGCAUGUCGGAGGGAGGAAAAAUCUCAAACAUGUAUCGAAAGGACGUCGGAAGAG
Molecule: long non-coding RNA, 60084 nt
Filed under: Sorghum bicolor (sorghum)
Lineage: Eukaryota; Viridiplantae; Streptophyta; Magnoliopsida; Poales; Poaceae
Description: long non-coding RNA (SBIC_LNC018377)
Source: RNAcentral